GAUCCACUCCUCUGGGCAAUGUGAGAUGUUACAAAUUCAACGGAAACAUAAUCAUCUACUUCUUCCUUAAAAACGUCAUCUUCUAAGUUCAUUCUUUUUGUUUUCUCUGAAUGAUUUUACUUUCUUUGAAUGAAAGGAGAUGGGAAGGAUGAGUUAGGGUUCAAGGGAGACAAAUUUUGUAAACAUAGCGUGAGAGUUAUCACGCCUAAACUUUUCUUUUUUCUUUUCUAUUAAAAAAAAAAGUAAUGCAAAAGAGGGUAACUAAGGUCCUUAUUAGUCAUUUUACAAAUGGACAAAUUUGUAAUUAAAACAUUCAUAAAAAGGUGGGUGUGAAGAUAAGAUAUUGGAGGUGGGAAUAACACAUCUCUAUUAUUAUUGUUAUAGUUUUGAUUAAUCAUACCCACUCAAAAUAAAUGUUUUUUGUUUUGUCGUUGAUUUUCCUUAAGCAGUACUGUUGGUAAUGGACAAAAGAGUUUAAGAGCAACGUAAUCAUAUCAAUGUAAGAUUACCAAACCAUAUAUAAAAUUAUGAAGGAAUGAUAAUAUGUGAUUUACAAAUCCCUCGAUGUUCUUUAAUUUAUGUGCAUUCUCCUAUAAUAAUAUAUAAGAGGAAAAGAAUGAUCUGUUGACAACUUGUUAAGGAUGAGCGAUUGACGGUUCUCACUACCAUUAUGGUAUUAAUUAACAAUUUUUUGAUCCAACGUUAUACUAUAAAGUAUAAUCAUCAACUAAAAUACAUUUUCACAUAGAAGAAACCUCCAUAUAUCAACAUCGCUGCCCUAGUCCAUGUCUACCAACAUACAUGCAACAUGUGGACUCUCUCUCUCUCUCUUCUCUCUCUCUCUCUCUCUCUCUCUCUCUCUCUCUCUCUCUCUCUCUCUCUCUCUCUCACACUCAUCAACAAAUUAGAAAAUAAAGAAAAUGGUUUAAGGGCACAUCCAAUUAGAUAACUGUCCUUAUUAAUCCCGAAAACUCUCAGGUCCCACGGGACCGGCGGCACUUGAAACUUUCUAUAUAGCAAUUAGCUAGUCCUUCCAGCUGAGUUUAAUCCUAAACAAUAUCAUGUUGACAUUAUAAUAAAAGGUAUUUAAUUAGAUUCUCUAAUGACCUACAAGUAAAGGCCAUGUAAGUUCGGCCAAAAUUUUCCAUGUUUCUGCAGCUUGAAUCUCAUGUGUAGAAAGAAUGGAAGUUGCAUGUGCUUAUAAGUAGUUAGGUUAUUCUUCAUAUUACUAGUUGGUUUUAUAUGGUGGAAUCUCAACUUCCUUCAUGGUAUCAAAGUAGGUUGUCUCAUGUGUAAAGCCCAACGGCCAUAUGUGCUCCGCAUCACCGAUUUGUGGUGUCCAUAUGUUAAGCUAAAAAAUUCGCCAUACAUGAGGGGGCAUGUUGAGAGUAUGAACACAUCGGAGAAAGAAUGAACCUUGCAUGAGUUUAUGAGUAGUUUGACUAUUUUCCAUUUUGCCAAUUGAUUUUAUGGUUAAAUCUCUAAAUCAGCAUGCUUAUCCAUUCCCUUACAUUCCACUUGGAAUUCAUACCCUAAUAAAUUAGAAGAAAGAAUAUCAUCUUACCCAAAAAAAAAGUCUCAUAAUUAAAAUUCUCUAAUAAUAUAAAUCAAUGACACAUAUUGAAGCAAAAAUAAGGGAAUGUGAUGUAAAAGAUUAGAUCAAAUCCACAGAUUGAUGCGUAAAGCCGAGCUGAAUGAGAUUAUAUGCUUGAAACCAACGUCUUAUUGGAAUUUAAUACUUUUUAAAUCCCAUAAUCACUUUAUUAGGCAGCAGAGAGAGUUGUUUGACUACUGCACCUUUAAAUGGCAUACAAUAUAGAAAUAGAAUCACAUGCUGCAAUUGCAUGCAGUUGAGUACUAAUUAAUUUGGCACUCAUCUGUAUUAUCGGUUAGUGGAAAUGGAAUUGUGACGUGAUUAGGUCAUCGAUCUCCCAGCAGAAUAUGCCCAAGCUAGCCCUACUUGGGUCGUCGGUCAUCAUCAUGUGUUUUUGUAAUUGUACCACACGAGUCCAUGACUCCAUGUCGAUGAGGAUGACCUAAUCUUCUUACUUCUGUGUAAAAAAGUGGCCACAUUAUCGUUGCAUUACACAAUAUAUCAGUACAGAUGCAGGUACAUGAUGGAUAUAUAUCUGCAGUCGUCAAAUGGAAUAUAUAGUUCUAGAAAGACUCCAUUCGCAUUCUUCCUUCCACAUCAUUAUCUGUAUUUAUAAAUUCCAUGUAUGGUAUAUUUCAAGAUAAAAAAUUAAAUUCCAAAAGGAGGGUACUGAUUCGAUCCGCACCCCUUUCCGUGUAUGAACAGCACAAAAUCGAAGCAACCAAAGUUAAUAUGCCCUAGAAUUAUAUGGAACAUUUUUUUUUGAGGUUUAAGUCGAGAUGUUAGCUUAAUAUAUACAUGUUGUUGUACAUUUUUUAGUAAGGGUUGUCUAAUAUGGUAUUAGAAUAUGUUUCAAAAAAUUCUGAGUCCCGAAAUCCUUAUAUAUUUUCCGACCAAAAAAAAAAAAAAACCCUUAUAUAUUUGUCUCUUCACUAAUUAAGUUUUUGAGCCAUACCAUCAAUCGAAAUAGGUGCUCAUAUAAAUGAUUUUAUAAAUUAACUAAAUAGAGAGAAAAUCCAUUGCAAGACGAUGGAAAUGGGGAGUGAGAUCUUUGUCUGUCGACUGCAAAUUGCAUGAAUUGCAACGGUGGUCAGCCUGUGAUGGAUACAGUUGGCUUGGAUUUGAUGCUCAGCUGGUCCCCAUAAUCCUCUCUCUCUCUCUCUCUCUCUCUCUCUCUCUAAAAUGGAAACAGGUGGAGGAGGCUUCUUUCUCUCUAAGCUUUAAGCCUUUAGUGCGCUUUGGGUUUCCUUCAUGUUCUUUCAAACUGGAAUCUCUUGUGUUGUCCGAUGGUGGUGGGGGUGGGCUGUGGCCUGCUGGGUGUGGUCACUGCCUCAUCACUGGUCUGUGACAAUUGGUGUGGGUGAGUGGGACCCACUCGCCACCUAUCCCUACCUUGACUACUCAAACCAGUCUCCAUUCCUGUCAUCUUGUUUUCCCUCACACUCACAACUGUGUGAAUGUUUCUUUUGUUUAAUUACUGUACAUCACUUUUACAUGUAAGAUACAUAAAAUGAUAAUUCCUACACAUUGUUGUAGGAAACAAAUUUGGUUAGUUAAGGUUAUUAACUAGCGCAAUUCUCACACUAAAAGAAAUCAUAAUAGUGUUAAUCAGUGGCGGAGUAUGGGAUCAUAGGUAAAUAGCUUAAUACAUCCAUUAUAUUUUUACAUAUAUAUAUAUAUUUGUGUAUGACCCAUAUAUACAGCUGCGGCUUCUUAUGUACAGUUGUAGAUUUUCUUCUUUCUUUCUUUUGUCAUCUUUUUCUAUUUCUUGUAUGCGACCUUAUGAUGUGCAACAACAUUUGAUAAAAAAAAACCUCACUUGAUAGGCCUCAGAAGAACGCAACAUAACUCAAAGGGUACCCACCAGAAGCUCGACGAAAUGAUUCAAUGAAGUUUUUUUUUUGUACCAAAAUUAUGACCCUAUUGUUAUAAAACUCCGACUCCGCCACUGAAGUUAACUAAAUUCAAAAUACAAAUUGUCAUGAUGUGAUAGGAUACUCUUACUCAAGUUUUACAAGAAACAAUUUCUUGUACUAAUAAGUACGUACCAUUACAAUAUAUUAGAGAGUGCAUAUUAAUUCACAAUUGACCACCUAUAUACAUAUGGGUGCCCACCAGGCCUAUCAGUGGACCUCCAAUAUAGUACAUUUGUCCAUGAGCAACAGCUACCAGCAUUAUCGUCAUAAUUCAAACCCAAAAAAACUAUUAGCAAACAACAACCAAAGUAGAUUAAGAUAAUAUCCAUGUUUUGGAUAACUAUUGUUCAUGAGGUGGGUGGCUUCAAUUUUGGUUAAUAGUAAAUUGGGUGUUGCACAAUUAAAUUAACCAAGUUGUAGUUGUAGGAUCUAAAUUGCCCUAACAUGCCAGUAGCUACUUUAAUUCUGUAGUAAAAAAGUCUUACACCAGAUGAUAGAAUAUACAUGAUCUCAAUCUAGUAAAGAGCAGCAACAUGCAUAAUAGUACUAGUUUAGUUACAAUUAAAGGUGUAAUUAAGUAACGGUGUAUCCUGUAAGAGAGAGAGAGAGAGAGAGAGAGAGGUGCUCACUGGGAGAAGAAUAAUGAUGGGUUGUAAGGAAGGAGGAGAAGAUCCCUUGGGAGACUACAAAAUCCGUUUGUUCCCUCCUCCGAAUGCCUUUUCUUUUUAGGAGCCGAUGAGCUGCCCUCCACAUGCAAUUCACUUCUGCUUCUGCAGCUCUCUAUUUUUUUUCUUUCUUUUUUGAUUGAAACUGCAGCUCUGUAUGCUAGCUUUGGUUUGAUUUCCACAGUUAUAUCUCUCCCUUCUCUUUCUUUGUGACACCAUUAACGGUUUUUCUUUGCUUUUUUUAUUUCUGUUUUUAUUUUUCUCGGUAAUAAAGCGUGGUGGUCUUUGGUCUGUGUUUUCAGUAGUCUCUGGGAUGUAGACCGCCACAUGGUGCCCUCUUGUCUUUUUCUUUUUGGAGUUUCCACUAAUUCCUAUUUGGUAUGAAUAUUUUCCUCCUAUACGAUAGAUUUUUCAAUGUGACCGUCACACGAAGUGGUACAUCAUAUGUCCUUAUAUAAAUGGUGAGUUAUGUGUGUUAAAAGGUUAAUAACUUAAAAAUUAAAAAAUUUCAUCACUUACAUAAAAACACGUGGUGUACCAUCUGUGUUCCUAUUACAACUAAAAAUUUCUCCUCCUAUACAUAUGUUGUGCUUAUUAUAUAAUCCUCCUUUAUUUUGCAUAUAAUCUCCAACCCUACCUACCAUUAGUUUAGUUCACUACAUGCCUCCACAAGUUAGAGAAGACAACAUAGGAUAUUAGUUAGGGUUGUUAGACUGUUAAUCCGAACAACUGAUUAUGUUGAUUUUUACAGCGCAAUUUACGGAUUAUGGUCAACAAUUUAUUCAUGCAAAAGACCUAUAAAUUGAAGAAAAAAAAUACAAUUAAUAUAAAGGUAAUGCUAGGGCUACUUAAUUUAUAAACUAAAUUUUGUAAACUAAAUUACAUAGAAGUUGAUAAUUGAAAGUGUUGAUAAACGUGCUCAUUCCUAUUGGUGACACAUCAUUUUGUUUGCAAAUUUAAUCUACAAGUUUAGACUAUCUAGCAUUACUAGUACAAAUACCACUUGCUACUUUCCAUAAUUAGCAAGAUGAUUAACGGACCAGGAUCCUCUCCUGAGCAAUUCCCUAGGGAUCCCGCAAUCUUGUCCGUUCAUUUUAUAUCGUGCGGUCAGUUUUCGUUAGGUACUAUUCAUAUUUGAAUUUUAAAAUUUAAAAUUUAAAUGAUUUUUUUGACCACACGAUAUACGAUGAACGGACAAGAUUGCGGGAUCCCUGGGAUCCCUAGGGAAUUGCUCAGGAGAGAUGCUUGUCCAUGAUUAACAUAUUUGUAAGCUCGUUUUCAUCCACUUUUUAUAAGCUGCUAUUGAAGAGAAAUCAUUUUCCACAAUAUGAUGUCCCAUCAAAUUAAUAAUUACACAACUCAGUUUGGAUUAUUAUUAGAUUAUUGUAGUGGAAAGUAACAUGUUGAUACAUGGGAGCUGAGGGUCAUAUAUGUACUGAGAAAUGUUAAGGGGAUUCGUUUAAAAGUGGAACUCUAUGUUAUUUUAUAUUUUUAACAUAAUAUUUUAUAAUAUUAGCAUGAAAAUUGUUAAAUUGUAAGAUGAUAGAAAAUGCAUGAAAGUCUCAUUUUUAAAACCAUCUCCUUAGCAUUUCUCGUUUGUACUAUAGUAUACAUAUUCAUACUUAACUUUAUCAAAUAAACAAAGUAAAAGAAAAGCAAGAAAGAGGAAGUGAGAUUUUGCUACGAAGACCGCAUCGGAUACUGGAGCUCUAGGGACUCCCUCUACUCUUUAUCUAGUUUGCUGCUAUCUCUAUGCAAAUUAAAGGAAUGUAUGUUGUUAAUCAUAGGAAUGUGUUAUUUAAUCGUGAUUAGCUUCAAUUCCUUAGUAAAAUUCUCUCUCUUUCUUGAACCUCCCAAAUAUUCAUCUCCAAUGUCACAUUACCUUCCUGUCCGCUUCUCGGAUUUCGAAUGUCCUCAAUAUUCUUUCCCAUCCUUUAAUUCCAAUUAUAAUAUUCAAAACCGAUUUUAUACCACAACCAUCACGUGAAAUUAGAUUCAAAGUAAUUAACCCUUAAUAACUAAUUACAAUUAUUUAACCAAUUCUCAUCUAAUAUUAAUCAAGUAAUGUUAUUCAUAUCAUAUUUUUAUAGCAUCUUAGGUAAUCUAAUAUGGACAACCACAUCAUUUGAAAAAUUUACAAAACCCAAAGAAAUGAAGGAGAAAGACUCUUCGUAUACCAUAAUAAUCAUUUAAUUAACUAGUUUUUCUUAAUUAUUAGUUUAUUAAAUAAUGAACUAAAUUAAAAAUCUGAUUAAUUCAAAUGAUGUGGUUGUCUACAUCAAUGUCAUGGUAUGAAAAUGUUGUACAAAAACAUACCUUCCUUCUCCCUCUCUCUCAUAGUCAUAAUGUUUCAACUCCAUCAAGAAAGACUCAUGUCGCCACCUGCUCUUUGUCCUCUUACUCAUCGUUUCAACGAUUCCCUUCUCAAAGAGAAAAAAACAUGUUGAGCAACUGUGAUCAUGAGAAGAUGGCUCUACUCAUCUCUUCAACUACUAACGAAUGGCCACAGGUUCCCUUCUCUCUCUCUCUCUCUCUAGAUUUCAAUUAUUAGACAAACCAUGACACAACUUUUGUUGCUUAGCUCUUGGAACAGAAUAUUUCUCCUGUGAUGUAGUUAUUUUUACCCUAGCACCACCGCCUUAACCUUCUUUCUUUCUUUCCCUUUUCCUUCCUUUCCCUUCGAUCUUUGUAGAUGCAGCAGGAUAUUCAAAUCGAUGAUAUAGAUCAUCAAAGGGGCUUGAACAACAACAAUAACGCUAUGUCUUCAUCGACGUCGUCGUCGGCGAAUCGGAUAAUGGAGAAACCAGGUCAAGAACAACUCCAGCUCCAACAGCAAGCCCUAAAGUGCCCUCGCUGCGAUUCGUCAAACACCAAGUUCUGUUACUACAACAACUACAGCUUGUCUCAGCCGAGGCACUUCUGCAAGGCCUGCAAGCGCUACUGGACCCGAGGUGGGACCCUCCGCAACGUUCCAGUCGGUGGAGGAUGCCGAAAGAACAAGCGCGUGAAGAGGCCUGGCUCGACAUCUUCAACAUCAUCAGCCAUGGAUGGUGGAACUCCGUCUUCUUCCUCUUCAGUUCCUAGCACUACUGCUGCUGUUAAUAAAAUUCAACCCAACACCCGUCCACUCGACAAAUAAUCCGCUCUUUAUUUGUCUGUAACCUUUUAUGGAUACUUUCAGGUUAUUUCAUCAUUGAAUAUCGGUCAGCGGGAUAGGUUUUCAUCAUCGUCAGGUACUAAUAUGAUGUCCAGUGAUAAUUAUCGAAACCGGUUUAAUCCCGCUUCAAAUUCAUCGCUUCCUUCCAAUUAUAGUUCCAUGUUUAGUACUUCCCCAUCCACCACAGCUCCAACUGUGGCUUCUGUGCUUGCUUCUAAAUUCAUCAAUGGCGGUGCUUUCAAAGAUAUUCAAACUAGAGGGCCUCAUCAGCAUAAUCAAUACUUCCAGUCCUUGCUACCAUUUGAAGAUCUUCAAAUAGCGGCCGGAAGCAACGGUGAGGCUGGUAGUGCCUCGAAAGACGUGAAAGUAGAAGAUCAUGGUGGCCAAAACAGGUUAGAGUGGAAUAAUAACAAUGGCAGCAGUAAUGUGAAUGGUAAUAUGAAUUGCCAGAAUCAGAUCACGGAGCAGAUGGGGCUCUCAGAUCCUACUCUUUACUGGAACUCAUCGACUCUCGGUUCUAAUUGGCAUGAUCCGGCAAAUCUUGGGUCCUCAGUCUCUUCACUGAUCUAGCAAAACCCAACUUUAUCGUCAACGUUAUUUUUCGAUCUCAAAACCUCCUUUUUCCUUAAUUAGAGUCAUUUUUAGGUUUUUAUUAGUUGGUUGGUUAUUGGUUUUUAGUGAAUUGGUGUGUGGUUUUAGAAAGCUCAAGAAAAAAAAAACUAGAAAAAAAUUGGAAAAACUUGUAAAAGAAAGUUCAAGGGUACAGUAUUGGAAAGAAGAUGGCAGGAGCUGGGAUCGGAGUGAUCAUGUCAGCAGCAAUAAGAGAAUCGGCUUCUUGAUAAGUUUUAUUAAUCAAGGGUUGAGAAUCCCCCGUAAAUUGCGCUGAGAGGAACCUCGGAUCUUCUUCGUCUCACUGCCUCGAGUACUAUCAACGAUCAUCAUGAUCAUAAUCGUAAUCAACAUCUUCUACACAGAGCUGAAGUCUCCUCCAUUGGUGCAAACACCUCCCUCUCUAGUCCAGUAAGUUGGUGUGUUUAUUUGGUAUGUGUAUAUAUGUGCAUGACAAUGUUUCCUAAAUCUCAUAUGUAUUGGUUAUAAUUAGCUAGGUUGGGGUUGGUGGGUUUACUUUAUAUAUGAUCAGAAGGAACUAAUUUUGUUUUUCUUCUUUUGUUCAUGGGGAUGGUGUGUUUAGAGGGGAAACAUGGGGUUAAUUUGGUAUAAUGGUAUACAAGAGAUGGGAGACAAUUGUUGUUGCAAGGUGGGUAAUAUAUGUUGGUUUUUCAUUUAUAUGAUGUACGUUUCAACUUAAUUUGUACUUUGUAGUUGAUGAUAUCAUUAGCUGGUUUUGAAUUUGAAAUUAUGUUUUGGAAGAAUGCUGAUAUUUUCAAACCAUUCACAUUAAAAUCUGAAUCUAUACUGUAUGACAUGAUACUGUUUGACAUGAUGUUUCACGAUAGCUACUAAGGAUAAGGUUAGCUGUACAGAGUAUGGGGUGGGUAAAACGCCUAAUAUCGUGGCCAAUAACCUCAUUAGCUAUUGAUAUGCCCUAAACAACUAAUUUCAGUAACUAUAUAUUCUCAGUUGUUGUUGUUGUAGUGAGCAUGCAUUUAGGCUAGCUACCAUUGAGAUUGAGUAAGGUUUUGUGGAAACUAAUGUGAACCCCAAGAAGAGUAGAUGGGUCGAGUGAUCAAAACCAUAGUUUUCAUAUCUUGAAAUUAUUCUACGGGAGACAACAAUUAUAUGGAUUUGAAGGUACGUGGGAUUUAUGCCCUUGGACUAUAGUAUGCUGGCUGUAGCGGAACUGUUUAUUCUCCCAAUAUAUAUAUAGUACUACUUGGAUGGGAGGGAGAGAGAGAGAGAGAGAGAGAGAGAGAGAGAGAGAGAGAGAGAGAGAGAGAGAGAGGUAGUGGAGAUUCUUUACGCACGUACGUCCGUGAUGAAGAUUUCACAUGCGAAUAACUAAGAUAAGGUGAAUGAAUGUGUAUUGAAUUGACCAAGCCGUAGAAAUACAAUGCGCUAGUUCAUAUUAAUCUCUCUCUCUCUCUCUCUCUCUCUCUCUCUCUCUCUCUCUCUCUAGCAUAUCUACCUCUGAGAGAUCAGUGGAGAGAUUCUUUGACUUUAUGCGUGCAUGUUGCAUAUGCAGAUAAUUAACUAAGUUUGAAAAUUCGUCUUGUUAAUUUGAAAUAUGCUGUUAAACUAGCUAGCUAAUAAUUAGAUGAAAUUUAUGUUGUUGUCACCGUAAUAUUCAGUAUCUGUAGAUAUGAUAUUCUAGACUUUAGUGGCAGACAACUGGUAUCGCACUCCUUCAAAAGCUGGCCAAUUCAUGAUCUACAUCUUCGCCAGCUUUCCCUUUGGUAUAUAUUCAAAUCUGAUGAGAGCGAAAUUAAGAUGGAAAAUGGACUUGCUAAUUUCUUAUUUUAUGACGGGAUAUGAGAAACUGAGUGCUGUUAAUUAUCUAGGGGCAAUUUGGAAAACUAGCUUUUUUAAGCACAUAGGGGCUUUUAGCUCCCUUUUCUAAGAUUCAGAAAUUUGGGAGCAGCCUCUCCAUAAAUGGGGGAAAGGCUAGCCGACAUUCACCUCUCCCAGACCCUGCGUAAAGCGGGAGCCUUGUGCACUGGUACGACCUUUUUUUCUAAGAUUCAGAAAUAUGUUCAGUGUUGAGGCCUCUCGAACAAUGUUUGAACUCACAUUAAGUGGUCAGCUCUAAAAGUUGAAAAGAAUUACUAAAAUUCUUUAAGAUAUUCAAAAUUUGGCUACUUUGCAAAAUUUUCUCCGAGUUCUAGGGUUCUUGGUUUAGGGUUUUGGGAUUUUAGUACAUCACAUAACUGACUAGUAGGAUGAAAUUCGGCUUGUCUCACUUUAAUUUAUAAAAAAAAUGCUAAGAAGACUCUCUCAAAUUGAUCAGAGUCCCUAUGGAUUCUCUAGCACCUUAUAGUUUGGUAUUAAUUUUCGUGCCAACAUUAUAAAAUAUUGUGUCAAAAACAUGAGAGGUCAUGAAGAGUCUCAUUUUUGAGAGAUUCUUCUUACCAUUUCUCUUCAUUUUUAUAUACGUGCAUUUGUUUACGUCGACAAUUUGCGAUGUUUUUUAUGGUGUGCCACGCUAAGAGGGUUAGACAAAUCAUGGCUUGUCAAGACAUGUGACAUGCCAUCGCAUGCCAACAUCGAUGUUUUGGCGUGUCACGAUGUAAGGGUUAGUGUGUCAAAGUAUUAGAAAAAUGUAUGGCAUGACAUGCUAACUCUUGCAUCGUGACACGCCAAAACAUUGAUAUUGGCCCCCACAUGACAAGCGUCGUGAAUUGUUAGCAUAAUGCAUGUCAUGCUACGCUAUGCAUUCUCUCAAAAAUUUGCAAGACUUGUUAUGACGUGCCACGAUAGGAGGGUUAGGGUGUUAAAACAAGUCAUACCCUGCAUUCUGGCAACAACUCGCGAGGCUUGUUAUGACAUGCAUUUUUCUAACACUUUGCCUACUAUUUCGGAUAAUUAAAAAAAAAAGAUCUAGGAAAUAGUAGAUCUUGGGGCCUAAAUUAUUUUUAUAGAAAUUUGUACAAAAUAGGACGGUAGUCAUAUAUGAACGUGUUAUUACCGGUAACAACACGUUCAUUAGUAGAGUUGAAAAUUUCUACAUGAUCUUACCGGUAAUAACCUUUGCAAGCUUUUAGAUGCAUCACUGACCUUCAUAUAUAAUUGCCUACUUUGUUGUAGUAAUUUCCAAAAAAGUAAUUUAAGGUUUCGGGGUCUACUCUUUCCUAUAUCCUCAUUUUUACAUGCAUUUUGCCAACAUUUUGCCCACUAUUUCGGAAUAAUUUAGAAGCGAGGCCAGUGUCGGGGCUAACAAUGAUGUUUUUGGCGUGCCAUGAUGCGAGGGAUAGCAUGUCAAAGUGUUAGAAAAAUAUACAUCACAUGACACGCUAACUCUUGUAUCGUGGCAUUCCAAAAAUAUCAAUGUUAGUCCCGACAUGAAACAUCGCAAAUUGUUGUAAGAAUACAUUAAUGAGGUUACGAAUGCAUGAAAGAGGUUAAAAGUGAUUUUCUGUGGUGGUGGUGGUGGUGCUACUGGUCCCAAUUAAUAUUUGCUGAUCGGCAAGCACGGAUCACGAUCUAAACUUGCCUCCAAGAUGGUACUUUGAAGCCUUGAUUAUGAUAUAUAUCCAUGCCAUGUACAUGUACUGAAAAGUAGAUAGGAAAGUGACGACGCCAACAUGCAUGGUGAUGGUGGUCCUGAGUUUGUAUAUCUAUAGUGGAGAAGCUGCAUGCACAUUACAUGUUGUCUAGAUUGAAAAUGAUUUGGUGAGUAGUCUAACCUCUUAUAAAUCUUUACAAAGUUUCUUUUUACACCAUUGUGAGACUCUUUUACUUUCACAUCCUCACAUACCCUCUCGCGUAUGGCAAAUUUUCGAAUUGAGUGACGUGGAACACAUGUGGUUGUUGAACUUCACACAUGGGCCAACCUGGCUUUGAUAUUAUUAAAAAAGUUAAGGUUCCACUAUAAAACUAAUUGACAAUAUAGAAAGUAACCCAACAUCUUAGAAGCUCUUACAAAAUUUCUCAUUUUACCAAUGUGAGACUACCUUUACAUCGUUACAGAAGGCAUGCCUUGAUAUCAAUGAUUAUCUAAUAUAUUAGUAUAUUAAAGAACAACCGGUACCGUGUGAUAUGAUUUCAAUGAUGUGAUGAUUGUAGCCUCAUUGUAUACCUAUAGCUAGAGGUGUCAAACGGGCCUGGCAGAACCGUAAAGUCGGCCCAUAUGGGCUUGAGUAGUGCUUGGAACGGCCCACUUAAUAAACAAAUCGGCCGACUUACCUAAUAAAAUAUUAAGUCCAGCUCAGUUCUAGCCCUAGCCGAUUAAGACUUGGGCCGGGUCUCCAAACAGGCUAACUUCGACAAAACAAACUUUAGUUAUUUUAUCUCUACUAAUUAAUAAAACAAACUAAAAUAUUAUGAAAUUACUAAUUUAACCUUCUAAUUAAAACAGAACAUAAAUUAGAAAUAUGGGGCAGAAAUGUAACUUCUCACUCCCACAUUCUCUAUCACUCUUUUCCUCACUCCUUCUAUUUCAAAAACAAAAAUAAAAAAAUUUCUCACACACUUUGUGUGUGCCCAUAUGCUAGCUUUAUUUAAAAAAAAAAAAACUUAUUUGAACAUGUUAUUAAGCUAAAUAUCACUAACAUUAAUUCUUACCUUAAAAUGUAUGUUUGCAAUUCAAAAAUAAUGAAGAAAUGAGAUUAUUUAUAAUGGGUCAGGGCAGCAAGCCGUGCUCAGCCCAUUGGGUCUAAAUCUUAGGUUUGGUCUACCCACUUCUUACAAAUCGUGUUGUGUCAUGCCUUAUUUAAGUGAACAUGAUAGUGUUGUGCCUGGUUUAAGUGGGCAUGUGCUGUGCUCGUGCUGGCGCACCAUUUUAAUACCUCUACUUAUUGUUAUACGAAGAAAGAAGACAAUGGUUGUGGAGCACAAGGCCAUAAUAAUACAUUCAAUAAUUUUCGUUAAUAAACGAUUGAUUUAUGUUAUAGUACACCAAUAUGUACGUUGCGCAGUAGUACCACCGUUUUACUGCAUAUUACAAGGCCAGAUUGUAUAUCACAGUUAGUUCUAGGUCGAUAUUGACAGGGGAAUGAAUGGAAGAAUUUAAAAUGGCAUAUAACCUGUUUGAUAUCUUUUAUAAGGGGUAACUUGUCUAGAAAUUUAAAACACAAUUAUUUUGAUUUUAGGGCGUUGACGUGCUUAAGAUAGGGCGUGUUUGGGCAGCACUUAAAUGAGGUGUUCUAAACUAAACCUGGACAGGGAUGUCAACUUCUGCAGAAAGCUAAUCCUCUAGGGCAGAAAUUGGUGUCGGUGAAAUUAGGGUUCCAAGCUUGCAAGUGAUGGCAGAAGGUGUAGUCUCUACAGUCUACUUAUGUAAGAAAUUAUCAAGACACCACUGACAAACCUCUUGCAAUUGCAGCCUCUAUUAGAUGUACGUAGUGUUGCCCCUGCAUCAUCAUGUGAAUUCGAACUCCGUCAAUUCUCUAAUUUAACAUCUAAACUAACAAAUCUAUCGUUUGAAAAAAAAAAUGCCAAAUUAGACCAGUGGGCUUGGUUUCUCUUGUGCUGUCUCCUUGUCUAUCCCCAACAAAUCCAAUUUUUCUGGGGAUGCAGGGGACCCCCUCAAUUGACCGAGGAAAGACGAUCAGCUGCUGGUCCUCCUAGCUCCUGCCUCAUUCUUGCAUUUAAUUUAGUCCUGGCCUUUCAUACAAGCGAUUGGGAACACGGUGAUGCUCUCAUCGAGAUAUAUAGACAAAUCGAACCUAUAAAUGUAAGUCAGAAAUCAGUAGCAAUUUCGAAUCCACUAAAAAUUGAAAAUCUCAAAAUUUAUCAUGGAAUGAUAAUAACCUUAGCACCACAAUGCUUUUAUAAUGUAUUACGUAUCUUAUCACAUCUUCAAACUUGCUAGGAAACCUUAUAAAAAACAAAGAGUGCUAUUUUUCUCACCUCACUUUUUAAUAAAAAGUUUAAUUACAUAUUUGCCUAUUUAUAAGGGGACCGAUAAAAAUCUUAAAAGAUAUAUAAUAAUAAUAGCUUGGGCUCGAAAAUGUAACAUAAGUUCUAGACUUACAUUGGGUUGUGAAAUAAAUGGACAAUAUAUAAGCCUAGUUUGCAAAAAUGACAAAAGAUGAGGAUAGAAAGAAUUCUGGAACGAAAAAGUGUGGAUGCCCUUGUCCAAUUAAAGGGUAAGAAUUAGCAACUGAUGAUGAUUGGAAAUUGAUAGCAAUUAUAGUAAUGCAUAAUCACAACAGAGCAUUUGGAAUGUCAUUCAUUUACUAGUAGAUUAACAUGCAACGUUUUCAUUAUACGUAAGUGUUGACCUUUGAAUAGUUCAACAUCAUUAAUAAUGUUUUUCAACGUUCACGUAGGAUCAAACAGCAUAAUCCAAGAAGUACUCUUCCCACUGUACUCACAGCAUGGUCCUACUCCUAAAUAUCACUUGAAAAAUUGGGUUUUAUCAUACAUCACUUAUUAUCAUAUGAAUCCAAUUGUAAAGGAUGAAAAUCGUUUGUAAUGUGGUUUUAAAUAUAUAUAAUCUCAUCACAUAAUCUUAGAAAUUUCUAAUUUAAUCCCUACCAAAUACAUUAUGUUUCAUUUUAUAAACAUUAUGUUACAAGCCUUAUGACAGGUAUGUGAAGGAGCCAACUAGAAGAGGACAAGAACACCAAUGCGAGGAAAUAUAGGUGCAGACAUGAGACAAUGGGCAGUUGUGUGUGAGGUUGAAUAAUUAGAACUCCUUCCGUCCUUAGAAGUACCCCCUUCUCCACGCUAUCUUCCCAACUCCUUCACUUUGAUAAUGGCGUACGUCAAACCUUUGCUCUAAAGCAACCCUUUGCCAAGACAAAAGAAUUUUCAACUUCCUUUCAUGGUUAGUCAACCCCAUCUUCUACAUUGGUCACCCUUCUCUCUUUCAAUCUUUAUUCCCUUUAAGUAGAAGUGCAGAACGAAAAAACAAAUUCCUCUUGGAGAAAAACUUAAAAGGAAAUCCAAUCACGUCAUUCGUAAUACUUCUUACAGAAUUAUGUGAUUCUAUGUAUUUUGGUCUCAUUUGAUCUUACGAAAUCUAACUGAGAAAUCUAGGUGUAAGAGCUACCCUAAUAGUGCAACUACCAAAUUUUUUGAUAUAUAUAGAAAUAGGGAUAUUUCCAAACUAUGUUUUUGAGAAUCCAUCAUUAUUACUUUAUCUACACACACUUUUUAAGACAAAUUUUUAUACCAUAAAAUGAUCUAAACUUUCAUUUUAUGCCUCAUUGACAAUAUACAGGGCAGUCUAGUGUAUCGAGAAAUUAUGUGAAUUAAGAAUAUGUAUGAGUAAAAGAUCAUGUCACUGCACCACAAAUUAGGUUUUUAUAGGACUUCAAAAAUGCUAUAGUGGCCUACAAUAGCGUUGUAGAAAGUGCUAUAACAGUCCAUGCUAUGAAAAGUCUUGCUCCUUUCAUAGGGUUUUGAUUUUUAAAAACCUUAAGCAGAACCCUAAGUUGAAAUUCCAAUAUGAAGUUAAAUCAAUGAGUUCAUAAAUCGUUACAUACAAAGAGAGAAGGAAAGAAAAUUGUUUAUCUUUCACAGUGGAGUCGAAGACUCGAAGUGCUUACUUUGUUGAGAAUCGAGGAAGAGAUGAUGGAGAGAAACAGGAAGCAAAGAGAAAAAAUUGAAGCGUGUUUUUUGCUUUGCCUUUCUAACCAUUUUUUAUUGAGAAUCUAAUUAAUUACAAAUGAACUCUUUAAUUAUGAUUUAGUGCACACAUUAUUGGGCUAGAUUGGCACACGCGUAAUUUUCUCAAAAGAUCAUAAGGUUUAAGUGGCCAAUCCACAAAACUUUUGAAGGAAACCACAAGACCUGCAAAGCUUGACCAAAUGAUGGUGCAUUGGGGCCUCGAGUCGCACAUCGAUGGGAUGUCAAUUUGAUGGAAAGUCCACUUCUUUCCACCGGAGUUUUUGUAUAUUGGGCAAGUGGGUCGCCACCACUUCUGCAUGCUUCGAUAUUAUAGAAAUAUAUAUAAGCUGUAACACAUCAACAUCAGGUAAAUGUAUAUGUGCGCUAAAGCUAGACACUGGAUUGUUCCUCCAUGCAAAGGGCGGUGGAAGGUUCCCCACUAAUGCACUCAUCAUACUUUGUCCUGAAUGUCCUUUCCAGUUUCAAGUGAGACCUCUUUAGGUUGAAAUACUCAAUCAUUCGAUUCAUUCCCAUUAUUUAUACAAGUCUCUUGGAGCACAAGCAACCAAAGAUGGCGACCUCCGAUGUGCUAUACUGUUCAAUUUAGAAUGGAGGGAAGUGGGGACUGGAAUUUUAUUCCAGCGAAUGGUUGUGAGCUAGUGAUGGAUUUCAAAGGAAUAUUUAUCUAUUAUUUAUUUAUUUAUUUGAUUACGUCGAAGAAUUUUGAACACUGAAUUUAGUCUACUCGUUUUUACAUCCCCAUCACUGGAUAAAUCCCAGUGGCUUACCAUUUUUUGUCCAAUUUUUUAUUUAUUCCACAUUGCAUUCAUCCCACAAAACUCCAAGGGUAUAUUUUACUUUGUUUCGACAUAAUUAAUUUCUCGGAUAAUGCUUGGGAGACUAAAUUUUUAAACCUUGCAAACCCAAUGAUGUGUCAUCAAUAAGAAAUAAGCAUGUUAAUUGACACUUAAUUCAUAAUCCAAUAAUCUACAACCACAUCAUUUGAUUUGCAAAUUGGUUUAAAAAUUUUGUAACAUCCCACAUCACCCAAGGGGAGUGAUCCUUAAUGUAUAUUCUCAUUUCUACCUAGCACGAGACAUUUUGGGAGCUCACUGGCUUCGGGUUUCGUCGGAACUCCGAAGUUAAGCGAGAAGGGGGCCAAAGCACUCCCAUGAUGGGUGAUCCACUGGGAAGUUGCUCGUGAGUUUCCAGAAAUAAAACCGUGAGGGCGUGAUCGGGGCCCAAAGCGGAUAAUAUCAUACUACGGUGGUGGAGCGGGCCUGGGAAGUGGUCCGCCCUAGGCCGGGAUGUGACAAAUUUGGUCUCCCUAGCAUUACCUACCAUAAUAUCUCAUGUUAUAUUUUUUUCUUGGGAUUAGUUAAGACAUUUCCACUAAAUUUAACUCAUUAAUAAGUGGUACCACUCUAACACCACAUAAUUAAGCAAAGAUAAAGUAGUAAUCACAAGCAUAACAGUGCACCUAAGGUUAUCCCCAAUCUAACAGGUAAAAAUUAAAAUUCAUGGAGUUAAUUUUGGAGUCAAAUUUUAUUCUAAAUAUUAUAUAAUCAGUUAAAAGUAAGAAACGUUUGAAGUCAAAUGUCAUAUUUGAUUAUUUAAGUCAAAUGCCAAAUCAAAUAUGACUUUGCACUUAACUCUAAGGUCAUAUGUAAUUCUAACUUUUCUAAUGUGUUUGAGGGAAAUAGAGUCAAAGGUUAUAUUUAACUUCAACAUUUUAUGUGCGUUGGUGAUAACCUAAGAUUGUACUAGUUAAGGUAAAUAAUUAAAUUCCAAUAAACAAAAUAUUCAUUGCAGAUUUUACUCAUAGAGAAAUAGUAAGGCGGUAUAUAUAUCCAUCAACGUUAACCACAAAACUUGAAAAUUGGUUAUUGAUAUCCAGCCUCUUAUAAGCGAGUUCAAAUGAAAGACCUGUAGUUUUUGCAGUAAAAUUUAUAUAUGUUAUAGCUUAAGCUCUUUAUAAUACAAAUAAAAAAAUACUACAGUCUACGUCUCAACAAUUCCCACUCGAACUUGCUUUAGGUUUUAUACUUAAUGGUUUAAUUAAACAAGAAAUUUAGUCACUUGCCCUAAGAUAUAAAAUGAUAAGUUUUUUCUUUUUUGGUGUGCAACAGAGAUCUCUCUGAUGCAGACCAAAGAUUUGCUUUUAGUCGGAAACCACAACACCCACCUUCACGCCCUCUCAGCAUUCUAUAUUUGUAGAAUAAACCCAUUGAUUAUUAUAUAUAAAUUGCUCCUGCGACUGCAAAGCCCUAAUUGAUCUUUGUUUAUGCAAUAGUUAAUUAAUUAAUUGAAUGUAGUGCUAAUCAACUGUCCCAGUGGUGGUCCUUGCAGAGUAAGAUUCACUGCUGGAGUUGGACACAGUGUCCUAUAGAACGUGGAAGGUGGUGUUUGAACUUUGAAAUGGGAUCAAACCAUGCAGGCUUUUUCUCCCUUCCACUAGCUAGGCUCUAUCAUUCCGGAGCGAAGCUAGAAAUAGUAUUCAUGCGGCACAACGGUAAUGACAGGUGCAGGUUAUUGUACAAUUCUAAAAAGAGGCACUUUAUUGAGCACUUGAUUAACUCAUGUUCAUUGUGCUUAGUGUACACUUGUACAUUCUCACCAGUUGUGCUCUUUUAAUUGGGAAAAUGAUCCUCUCUCCGGAUCUUCUUUGUGGAACCGGAUUCCCUCCAAACCCAAAGAAAUUGAGCUCAAUGAUCAAAUGAUUUGAGUCAUUGAAGUUUGAUCCGACGGCUACAAUUAUUAUAACUUUUCAUCCGAACCCAAAUGAACUAAGCUCAAAGAUCAAAUGAUCCGGGCCAUUGAAACUUAAACCAACGGCUACAAUUAUUAUAACUUUUAGAAGCCCCAUGUUUGUAGUCGUUGAAUCAAAUUUCAAUAGUCUAGAUCAUUUGAUAAGUGGGCUAAGUUCCUUUGGGUCCAGAGGGGAUCCAGCUCCUUUAUGGGGAUUUAGGGAUCCAUCAAUCACAAUCGUUCAUCGUACAUCGUGCGGUCAGUUUUCGUUAUAUACUAUUAUAUUCAAUUUUAAAUUUUAAAUUUAAAAUGAUUUUUGACCGCACGAUGUACAAUGAACCACCGUGAUUGAUGGAUCUCCCGGAUCCCCACAAAGAGGAUCCGAAGAGGAUCCCUUUCAUUUUAAUUGUAUCUUUAGCAUUAUUAUUAUUAUUAUUAUUACUAGCAAAUAGCACACACUUUGUGUGUGUGAACAACCACCCACCUCCUCUCACGUUCUCCUCAAGCGCAACUGCUUCAAUUCAUUCAAACUAUCCAAAAAACAUCAUGAUUUCACUUACCUGUAUGAACAAAUGAUGGUGGUACAAUUUUUCUUAAUAAGUGCAUAUUUUUAUCUUAUGUAAAUAUUUUGAUACAAAAUUACCAUGUUGCCCUCCUUAUGUAAAUAUUGUGUAUCAAAAGUGAGGUCAAACUAGGAAAAUUGGAAUAUGAUUGUCAUUUUGUCAAAAGGUACAAAAUUACUAUUUUGCCAUCCUCAUGUCAACAUUGUGUAUUCAAAAGUGUAGGCAAAAUUGGAAAAAAAAAGGGACAAAAACAAGCCCUCUUUUCUUAAUAGAAUAUAUAAUAAACAAACAGAUAAAUUAUAUAUAUACAUAGGGCUGGAAGGUCAAAUUUAUUAGACAUAUGGAAGAAGGGAAUUCUUCUUCUUGAGCUGCCAAAAUCAACCAUACAACUAAACUUUUUGUUAUAUCUACCUCCUAGUGGUUUUGGACGAGGAGCCAGUGGUGAAGUUGGUGGUGAUAGUAAGUUGAUUAUUGUUCUCCGUAAUCCGAUUCAAUGUUAUAUUGAGUGACAAAAAAUGAUUGCAAUUUAAGCAAGAUCCUGAUUUCUGCUCAGACCACUAUUUUUUCGAGGACAAAAACUUGAAGGGGCACUUGCCCUUAAUAAGAUUCUCCCCUGCUAUCAUUCAUUUGAUAUUGUUGUACGUCUCUAAAGAGAGACCUGUCCAUCUGAUACUCCACCCUUGUGUAACCAUUGGCCAUGCCCAGUGAAAAUUGAAACACAUGGCAUCUUGUGGUCCGUUCGAAAUACCACAGUGUCCUAUACAGGUAAAUCAGGUAAAUCAGUCUUAUUCCUCAGAGCAUUUUAGUGAUGAUAAGUUUAAAUUCUAAAAUGUCUCGUAAAAAAUUAAAUCACAGUCACCCAAUGACAAUUAACACAAUGGUCUUCAACAGAAGAAAUUUUUAAUUACAACAGGAACACAAAUAGUAUAUCACGUGUUUUAAUAAAAAUGGUAGAAAAUUUUAUUUUUUAAGUUAUUAACUUUUAGCACACAUAUCUUACUGUUUGUAUAAUAAUACGUGAUGUACUAUCUCAUAUACCGGUUAUUAAGGGUAAAAAUGUAAUAUAGUUAGUAAUAUAGUUAGGUAGUUAGUAUUUGGUUAAAGUAGUUAGGAUUUCUAUAUAAACAGUAUGUGUAAUCUUCAUUUGCUCAGUUAAUACAAAUCCUAUUUCUCUCUCUAAACUCUCUCACUCUAGAAUCUCUCUUGGUUCUCUCUAUCUUCUUCCUCUUCCUCUGUAUCAAUCCUUCAUCUUUUACAAUGUAGUUAACAUGGUAUCAGAGCCACCAGGCUCACGCCAUGGAUUCUGGUGGUUCUACUUCUCAUUAUUUUACAUAUGUUUCCCGCUUAGUUUCUUUUCCAAAUUUUCAUUAGGUGUUAGGAUAAGCGUCUGGGUGCUUCCGUGAUCAUUCUUUUAGGUUGAUUUGUUUUUGGGUUGAUUUCUUUCCGAUCAAAUUCAUGAGUCUCCUUGUGCCUGAUUGAAAGCGAGAGAUCGAAAGUUGGAGAACCGAGGCAAAGUUCUCGGCUUGUUCGACUUCGGAGCUAACACACUUGAAGAAAAUUAAGGGUUUAAGAACACGGACUUUAGAGAGAAAGAAAGAGAGAGCAGAAGUUCUCGGCUUGUUCGACUUCGGAGAAAUGGCGGCUUCACCGAUUCCAAUCCCAUAUGGGCUGAUGUUUCUGCCAUGAGGACCGUCGCGCCUUAACCCUAAGCGCGCCUUCGAUUUUGCCUACACACUGGAACAGCUGAUUUGAAAGCUCUGCUUCCCAGAUCUAGACUUCUUCAGAAUACGAAGUCGAUUCGAUCUUUUACGUGCCAUUUUCUGAGUCGUUUGAAGGCCGAUGGAUUGUUUCUUCGAAAGAUGAGUACCAAGGGGUAUGGAAACUGUCCAAGAGUGAGGGACAUGAUGAUUACGGGCUUCUGGUAAGUGAGAAGGCGAGGAAGUAUGCAGUGGUGAAAGAGAUGGACAAGGCUGUGAGCCUUGCUGAUGGAACUGUUGUCCUACAGUCUGGGUCGGGAUAUUUGAAGAACAAUGUACCAGUCAAGUGGGUUUUGCUCCUGGUCCUCCGUACACGCCUUCUUCUCCUUCGACGAUACGGACAGCAUGCUCCGCCGGAGCUCCUCCGGAAUCUCGCUCUGGUUUCGGUUCUCUCUCAGCAUUCUUGGGUCAAGAUUGAAGUUCUUAUCAGGUUCUUGAUUUCUGGGUUUUCACAGUGCACAUAAUCUGUAUGAUUAAAUGUUUCAGUAAGAAAAUGUUCACUAUUUUGUUCAUCUUUGAAUCUCUUCUGGGAUAUUAGUGUAAUAUUUGGGAUAUUUGGAUUCAAGACUAUUGAUUGUCGUGGUCAGUUUGAGUCUUCUUUGGGUAUUCAAUAAGGUGAAUUGUAGUGAUUUGUGGCUUGGUGCGAUGGGUUUUGAAGAUGGGUUCUGUUUUAAGUUUAUUUUAUGUAUCAAGUAUCUUGGGUCUUGAAGAUGAGUUUGUUAGCAUUGUUUCUGGUUUUUGUGAGUGGAGGAUGUUGUUGCCCGUGUAGAGGAUGAAAGUACUGGCUAUAUAUUACCAAACAAAUGGUUCUGAACCCCUGUUACUUGGUCAGUCUGUCAGCAAUUCGACUAAUGGUGAUGUAUCUAUCGUUUCACCCAAUCUUAGCAGUAUAAAAUGGAGAAUAAGGGGAACUGGCAGUCCCAUUUCAAUGAAUCUUGGCAGAUCAGUGUGCCAGGGCAAAGCAACGAAGCAAGCAGCAAUGCCUGUUUAUUAGAUUCAGCAAAGGUUACUGGAGUGAGUGUUCAGGUGCUAACUGAGGAGUUGUGCAGUAUAUUUCUAAUCACAGCCUGUCAUUUCAGAGUCUAACCAACUCAGUUGUUAGCAUGAAUCUACAGUAAGUCCGGUUAUACGUUAAAGUUUGAAGAAGUUGUUAACGGUAAAUCCCACGAAGGGUAAUCCCGUGGUUUGAGUAGGUAAAUCCCACGAAGGGUAAUACUACAUAGAUGUUGAUUUCAAUUGUUGAAAUUGUGAAGGCCGAUGCCAUUGUUCAAAGAAGUUGUUUUUUUUUUUUGGUAAAAUCCACAAAGGGCGAUCCCGUGGUGCUAUAGUUAAGGCCGAUGCCACACUAUAUAGUUUGUUAAUUUUCUGUUUUUGUAAAUAUUAAAGGCCGAAGCCAAGUUGAAUGAGAUUGUUGACGGUGAAUCCCACGAAGGGUAAUCCCGUAAGAAGUGUUAUACCGGCAUGAGGGUGUGCUACAACUACUUUAUAGAAGGUUGUUCUUGUGUACAACUCCUGAUAGAGGCAGCGGCAUACAGAUGUCUUUAUUUGUAAGGCAGUGGAAGAAAUUUGGACAGACAGACAGAGGUUUUUAGUCAACAGCUUCAAAGAGGUCAUGGGGUACACUUGUUUGAUUCAGUGAUCUGGGAAAGCUAUAAGCUUUGGUGAUAUGGUUUGAGUAUACGCGCUUACUCUCUGUCGUAUGGUCGUACAUCUACUUCAAGUUGUAUGGUUUGAUUCAGUGUCAUGUUUUCUACAUGACUUGCUGUUGAAGUGGUUUUGAAGGUAGUAUUCACUGUGAUGAUGUUUGAAUAGUUGCCUUGUCAGAUGGUGAUGUUGAUCAAUGGCAGAAAGAUCGUUAUUUCAAAAACCUGUGUGCGCGCAGGCUAAUCCAAAGUGUUGACUCUAGUCAAAGUGCUACAUGUGGACAGAUGUUUGGGUAUCAAUCCAAUGGUGGUUUUCCUAAAUCUACAGUUUCAGUGCUACCAUGUCUCAAUUCUUCCAAUCUCAAACUGAGUUUCCCCAGUUGAGAUUGAGGGGGAGUAUUAAGGGUAAAAAUGUAAUAUAGUUAGUAAUAUAGUUAGGUAGUUAGUAUUUGGUUAAAGUAGUUAGGAAGGAUUUCUAUAUAAACAGUAUGUGUAAUCUUCAUUUGCUCAGUUAAUACAAAUCCUAUUUCUCUCUCUAAACUCUCUCACUCUAGAAUCUCUCUUGGUUCUCUCUAUCUUCUUCCUCUUCCUCUGUAUCAAUCCUUCAUCUUUUACAAUGUAGUUAACACCGGUUAUACUGAAAAAUUUCUCCUCCAUCAGGUAUGCCUGCAUUUGCAGCAAUAACAUUUUCUUCCAAUAUUUCAUUCAUAUGAAUUUCUUAGUGUUUUUAUUUUAUUUUUAAAUAAAGCAAAUAAAGAGAUGUUGUAGCUGCAACAGGCAGGCUUUAACCUGCCAACUGCCAAGCGCAAUGGUGAUAAUAAAUCAUAAAGCAAAUUACCAAAAAAAUAAAUAAAUAAAUCGUAAAGCAAUUCGGAAAUCUGAGUCUCAAAUGAUUCAUUAAAAGCAUUUGCAGUCAACCACCACAUGCAACAAGUCCCAUCUAUAUGACUCUUGUUCAUCAACUUUUCUGCACAUUUAGCUAAACCUUCCUCUAUGCAUGCAUUGCAUCUAGCUUUCAAUUCAUGUACUGUCUUUUUCUUAUGUUAAGGAGAUUAAAUUUAUAGAUUAAAUUUUGUAAGCUAAAUAAAAAUUGAUAAGUGAAUUAUUACUUAAACAUUGAUAAACGUAUUUAUUUUUUAUUGAUGACACAUUAUUUAAUUUAUAAAUUUAAUUUCCCUCGCAUUACUUUUUUGCUUUUCCUCUUUUCCUUAAAGACCUUGAAUUAACUACAAACCAUCAUUUUGACAUAAUUUUCACACGACUGGUGUUAUAUGGAGAACAUUUAUUGAUCACAUUACUAAUCAUCUAUUUAGUAUGAGUUCGUAUGAAUGAAUCGAACUAAGCUUUGUUUAUUAAAUCGGUCUUCAAUGACGUGGUCAGUAAAUACGUAUGAUAUAAAUAACUGAUCAAAUACCGAUCAUUUGUCUAGUACAAGUCCAGCGUAAAUGAAUCAAACUCACUUCUGUUUAUUAAAUCUGUCUAAACAGCGUGUUUAGUAAUUAUGGUAUAGAUAAUUGAUCACAUUGACCACAUAACCAGUCCGAGUCCUGCAUACUUGUACACACGAGUUGAAUAUAUCAUCUUUGUUAUUUAGGUCUGUCUUCAACAUGUUAGUAAAUCUGGUAACGAAUCACAUACGUCAGUCUUUCUAAGGCAAGUCCUACGUACAAUUCAAACACUUUUGUGUUUAUUAGAUUUGUUUUUGACAACGUGCCUAGUAAAUAUGGUAUAAAUAACAUUAAUUUUGGAUUAUUAAAUGAGAGCAAACGAUAAAGGCAUAAAAUACCAAAAAGAAAAGCACAAAACAUUUAACUCAAUAACUCUAGAUGAUUUUAAGUUCAAACACAACCACCUAAAUAACUCAUGGAAUUGAACAAAAAGCUAUAUAUGUUUACGACCCAAAUAUUAUCCUUUUAUUCACAACAUAAUAUAUAUCUUUGUUCAAUGACAAACAAAGAUCAUACAUACCUGAACCACCAAGUACAAUUAACCAAUUUAGUACAUAAUUAUAAACACUGAAAAUUAAGGGGACACUUUGAGAUCCAUAUGGUAAUCUCCCUUUGGUAUACAUAAGCAAAUAUAUGAUUAAUUUGCAUGCUUGUAGGGAUAUGCAUGCCUUAAAAGUCUCUUAAUUAGGAGAGCCAUAUGAUCCGGGCAGAUCAGGCAACAGGUUUGGGUUCAGAGAAGUGCUGCCGCCACUGCUGCUGGUGGUGGUGAUGGGGUUGUUGCCCAUGGCCCACAAAGCGCUGUCAGAGGCUGCUACUGCAGAAGAAGAAGCAUUCAAAGAUGGUCUGUUGACGAAGCUUUGGGGGGGCCACUGAUCAUUCUCAGAUGGGUAUGGACCAGCUUGAUCCACCAGAUUGUUGCUCCUACCGCCGCCCAUCUGAUAAAACUGCUGACGCUGCUGUGGCUGCGUCGCCACCAAAGGAGCUGAGAGAUUGAACCCCUGCAGCAGGCUCACGUUCGAGGCAGGAUCAUGACCACCCCCAACAUUGAACGGCUGAGAUUGAUUCAGAGAUUGAAGCCCUGCAAGAGAUGACAAGUACCCAUGAGAAGCACCAGGGUAGUACUGAUGGUGAAUAGCCAAACCACCGCUCGGGUUUUCCGUGGACAUCCCAACGGAGCCGCCGCCAAUUCCCAGAGUGUUCUGCAUGUCCUGCUCUUUCUGUGGUGGCUGCGGCUGCUGAGGCUGCACGGUCCUAGCUGCAGACGCCGAGGAGGAACCCGCCUUGCCGCGCUUCCCCUUUCGGCAGCCGCCUCCGACGGGGACAUUGCGGAGGGUCCCACCCUGAGUCCAGUACCUCCUACAAGCCUUGCAAAAGUACCGCGGCUGAGAGAGGCUGUAGUUGUUGUAGUAGCAGAACUUGGUGUUCAUGGAGUGGCACCGCGGGCACCUGUGUGGCUGCUGGUUCUCCUGCUCCGCCGCCGCCUUCAACCGCUGAUCCUGGUUCUGCUGCUCGUUUUGCUCACCCCCCUCCUGCUGCUGUUGCUGCAUGUUGCUUUCUCUCUUAUGAUGAUCUGAAAUCGUUUGAUGGGUUGAUGUGAGUCUUCAAGCGACAUGCAGAGGUUUAUAAAGAGGAGGAAGAAAUUGGAUUGUUGUGAGGGUGUGCUCAACGUGUCCGACGCUAAUCCUUCAGAAUCUCUCGACACUCAAAACUGCCAAAACUAACGGCGAUCGUUAUCGUUAUCGUUAUCUUGCUCUCUCGCUGCAUGCCGUGUGUGCCUUCCUCUUGUUUCCACCCACCCACCCUGGUUACAACCAAAACCAUCGGCCAUUCAUUUCAUCAUUCACAUUGAAUUAAUGAAAAUUAAAGCCCAAGUGAUAUUUGAAAUUUAUGGAAAAUAUGGUCUUGAAAUCGAGCGAUAUCCGCGAGGAUUUAUUUUUCUCCUUCUAAAAAUGGUGUCAGAGAGUUUGAGACGAUGCGGUUUGACUUGCUUCUUUUUUCUAGAAUUUUGGACGAGUGGCGGAUAUGCAGAAAACCAGAAACAGGAGAGAGAGAGAGAGAGAGAGAGAGAGAGAGAGAGAGAGAGAGAGAGAGAGAGAGAGAGAGAGAGAGAGAGAGAGAGAGGUUUUAGCAAUCUAUGGGAGCUGGAGAUAAUACCAGAAACGAUUUUCGGUCACAUAACAGCAUCUAUCUCAUCAAAAUACAGGAAACCCAAUACAGAAAGAUUCAACCUUCACCGGAAAACGGUCCAAAGACUCGGCCUUUCCGUGCCGAUCUGCAAAAAUUUUCAACCCGUUGAACAAUAUCACCAUAACAAACCCAGAAAAUUAUGAGAAGAAAAAAUGAGAGUUCAACUGUACUGGGUUUUUAGAUAUAUGGAGGUGUAGGGUAGGAGAUGGACCACAGUAACAGGAGAAUAAGAUAGACCAGAGUCUGCAGAGGCUGCUGGUCUGGGAAGAACAGGGUGGCUGCUGGCUAGUGGCGGCCGUCGAUAGGUUUUCGUCUGCUGUGUCAGACACUCAAACUUCAGCAACUACUAUUUCUUCUCUCUCUCUCUCCUCUGCCUAUCUACUACAAUCAUACAUACCCUCGAGUCUUCUAUUCACAAUUUUUCUUCUUAUUUUAAUUUUGUGUGUUUUUGUUGGGCGGAUUUCUUCUCUUGUCUCUGACAUCUCACCAAGCUAAUUGGAUGCCAAUUCUACUCAGAAAGACAAUCAUGUCCCCGUCACAUUGAAAAAAAUUUCGUUGAUCAGAACAUUUCCAUGGUGACUUUUUCUUUCUCUCUCUUCUAUUUUCUUGUAAACUACUCAAGUACUGGAUUAGUUAAAGUCCAUUGUCAUUCUUCAACAAACUACUUUUGUCCAGUCGGUGUCAAACUUAUGUUGACAUUCCAAGAGGAAAAUAUAUUUACUACUUGUGCAUAUUAUCAAGCUAUAGAAUUAUGAACUAGUUUAGCUAAGGGGAAAGUCAUGGUCAAGUUAUCAUUUGUUGACAUAGUUAUGAUACCAAAUUGUUGUAGGUUUAUGGUGAUAUGAUCAGAAUAAUUUCAUAAAAUUUGGCUUAAUUGGUAUUAUUGAAUUAUAUAACCUAUGUUUUUAAUAAGCAAUAGUCUAGACUAAAUUCAUCUAAAAUACGAGCAUAAGAAUUCGAAUUUGAGUAUAAAAGAAGGAGCACACUGUUUUGCUCUAGUGCCAACUUGAAUAAAUUGAAGCUAAAAAAUCUAUUUCCCAUUUAAGAAUAUAAUUGUAUGUGAAUGGCAAAAAAAUAAACAGUUUCCAUAUAAAACCUUCACAUUUAAAUCUUUCCAAAAAAAAAAAAGUCGGCACACGUCCAAGUAUGUUCGAAUCUCUCUUAUCUCGUUUACCUAAAACCGUCACCGUUAAAAAUGUUAACGUCAACGUACAUUCGAAUUUGUCAUCUAGUUGAUCAAAAAGUGUGUCAAAAAACCGAAUCUCUCUUUUUAUCGUUGAUAAAAAAAAUUGUGCAGAAAAAUAUAAUACCACGUGGUGAUUCGAAACCAGAGUAGAUUUGACGCCACACGCGUUAUUAAAUAGGAUGAAAAAUUAAUUAUGUGUCAAUGUGUAAGAGAUUAUACUAAUAAUGAUUAUUAAUUUAGCACAACAAAAGUAAGAUUUUAUUGGGUUUUAUAUGUUAGGCCAUCUCCUACACACCAAACAAUUUGGACUCAAAUAUUAUAUGUGAGUUUAAAUAUAACAUUUUCCUAUCCAAUGCAUUCAGAAAGUUAUAACAUCUUAUAUAAUUUUUUAGUUAACUUGAAGCUUACAUUUUGGUUUCAAUCUAUGUUUACAAAAUUUUAGUCUAAGGUGCAGCCCACGUUUACAAGGAAAGUUAUUAUUUCAAAUGUGACAGUCCGUCUCUAAUUUUACGAUUAUAUAGAUUUUAAAAGUGUGAUUUUACGAAAAUACCCUAGAGGUGAAGUUUUUUUUGGCUUUCGUUGAUCAACGUAUAGUGAGACGUACGAAAUUCUUUUAGCGUAUUCAUGAAGUACUCGACGAUAUAGGCGCAUAAGCGCAAGCAACAGUGAAUUUGAAGUUACGGUUAAAGUUCUACGGAAUCUACAAAUCCGAAAAGUCUGUGGGUAAGGACACUAUUUAUUAUUUUAUAUUUUAUACAUUUCUCAUAAUUAUAUUGUUUCUAUUUUAAUAUUGUUGAUAGAAAAUUUGGAGGGAUGAGGGAAUCAUGGAAGAGGAAAAACGGAGAAGAUAGAGAGAGAGAGCCCCAUGGAUUGGGGGAAACAGAACGAAUCAAGAAGGAGAGAAGAGUGGAGGGCCAAUCUGAGAGGAGGAAAAUGAGGGAAAUGAGAGGAGAAGAGAGGCAGCAAAUUGGGUCCUGGACGACCCAUCUCGUCGACCCUAUUGCAGACCCGGUUUUGGGUAGCUAAAUCCGGCGUUCCUCAUCAAUUUUUUCGACGAAUUCUACCUAACCCUUAACUGCAUAUGAAACCCUAACCUCCAUUCUCUCAUUUCUACUUAAAAAUCUGAGGGUUUUGGCCUCUAUUUCGUGAGGAACAAAGCUGACGGCUUUAAAGACACUCGGCGGUAAUUCGCCGUAUUCUGCAACCCUUCCCGUUGAUCUCCACCAUCAAACAGCUUCUCUGAAGUUCAGGAACAUAACCCAGGCAAUGAUGGAGGCGUUGGAGCACGUACGGACGUCGAAUCGAAGCACACCAUUUAUAGGGUUUUUGGCGGGUUUGAGUGAAAUUGGAACAUUUCCCGGCCAAAUUGGACUUGGUCACGGUAUAAAACUUGCUAUACUCUUGGAGAUCUUCAUUUCUGUAAAAUUUGGGAAUUUUUUUAAAUAGUUGGAUUUUCCGGCUAGUCGGAGCGACCGACCACCACACACGGCGGCGCAUGGCCAUGGGGUCAUCAAUGUUAUUCUUAGGCUAAAUUAGAUACCUUGAAUUCAGUUCUGACAAUAGUAUGACGCAGGUUGAUCGUUAGAACUUAAAUUCUCUACAAUACGUGAUUAAGUCAUUAUAUGAAUCGAUAAUCUAACCGUUGGAUCGUCAUCAAACUUUAAUAAGUUAUUUUUCGUAAUAUUUGAGUAUUUACGGAUCAGGAAUCCGUCGCACGGAUCUUUCCAAAUUGGAUUUGUAAGUUCGUAGAAUAAAACGUUAACAGCCACUUGGUUUUGGCAAUUGGCAAAGAUCCAACCAUUGGAUCGUUCCGAAAUUUUAAGAUAUUGUUCUAAAAGUAUAAUGUGGAUCUUUGGAAAUUAUGGAUUUGAAAUAUGUGAUGUGGAUCUUCCGGAUCGAGUUAUGUAGGGUUGUGGACCCUACCGUCGAUAUUUGACCGACGGUUGACUUUUGGUCAAUUGGUCUUAAAUCAUUCUAGAACGUCCUUAAGGAUGUGUUUUAGGUAAGUUACGUGUUAUAUCGAUAAGAAUUCUAAGACAUUAAUUGAUAAUUAUUCCAGGCGACGAUGGUUCGUGACGCCUUGAUAUUAGGUUAAAGAAUUGUAGCGCAGACUUCAGGUGAGGGGUCUUUUUCUUUUUAUCGUAUAUAUAUGAGCGAUAAUUCCACAAUUGCUUUUAAAUUGUUAUAUGCAUUUUAUGCCAUGUUAUAUAUAUAUAUAUAUAUAUAUAUAUAUAUGUUAAAAUACUAUGGUAUGGUUGAGGUUUAGAUUGCAUUAUUGUAUAUCUAUAUGCAUAUUAUCGACAUAUAAUUACUGUAAAUGCUUUAAAGUACUAAGUUGAACUACGAAUGACUUGAUCCAGUUUGAGGGUACGUAGACAGUCUAACAGGACAGUUAGAUGUAGCCAUAAAACAAUCUGAAUUUAACAUGGUACUUAAUUUCUUUAAGGUAAGAAGUUAUGAUGGUUAACAACGUAGAGAUUAACCAUGAUUUUAUUUUGGCCUAUCACUGGGUAUAGUUCUGAUUAAGAAUGUUGGGAUGUUAAAGUGGUUAUGCCAAAUGAUGCUGCGGACGCCAGGUAAGCUUCAGGUGAGUACAUGUUGAUGGUAGUGACUGUAGUGGGUAUGAUUGUGUUGUGAGGUAUUUAGAGCUUAUUGUCCUGCACCCCGGUGUUAGUGCUCUGCUCGAGGACAUGGCCUAGCUUUCACGUGAUCGUUCACCUCCCGCACCACACGCUCACUUUGGAUCCAAGGUAGGUGCCAGCCUGUCGUACAAACCACAUUAGGUGGUUCUGACUCGUAGGUGACUUGCGAUACUUCGCACAGCCUUCACGUGAUCGUAGCAAUUGAGCGUAUUUAUUUACACCUAGCAUGUCGUACAGAUCACUUUAGAUGGUUCCGACUCGUGUGCAAGAAUUGAUUGAUGAGAUAUGGAUGAGUCGUACAAGUCACUAUAGGUAACUCCAACUUACGUGCUAGCAUUGAUUGAUGAGAUAUGGAUGAGUCGUACUGGUCAGUAUAGGUGACUCCGACUUACGUGCUAGCAUUGAUUAAUGAAAUAUGGGUGAGUCGUAUAGGUCACUAUAGGUGACUCCUACUUAUGUGCUAACAUUGAUUAAUGAGAUAUGGGUGCAGUCGUACAGGUCACAUUAGGUGACUCCGACUUGUGUGCUAGUAUGGAUUAUUAAGUACCUGAUUAUUUAUAUUGCUGAUGAGAUGCGGUGUCGUGGUAUACUUAUGGUUUUACUGUUAGUAUACAAUGGAUUUCAGACUUAUACGUAGUAUGAUUUUAUAGAAACUAAACAGGUGUUACAACGAGGGGUUAUAACGUUUAGAAAUCUUUAUUAAAACUUUGUUUUCAUGCCCACUCACUCUAGUUUGUUUUUCAUCCCUUCAGGUUUUAUUAGCUAAGCUUUCUUAUCAACGAGGAUUCGUGGCAAAUUUUGGUAUUGGAAAUUAUCUUCAUUGGUAUGAUCCUUAAUCCACUCUACAAUACUGUACUUAUGCUCUGACAUCACGUGUGAAAUGAGUUUAUUUCCGGUCCCAACGCACUCUCGUAUUUAGGCACUUUUAGGUUUAAAAUUUAUUCACAUUUUUCCUCAUCACUACACUUUAUGGGUUCGUCACCUUCCAGGUGUCGGCCAGAACACUUCGAUUCGGAGUCCUACUAGACUUUCCGGGUUGGGGUGUGUCAUACGAAAAUUAGUUUUAUUCUUUUUGGUUUUGGUGAAUUAAUUAGCUUUAUGUUUGGUAAUGAAAAUUACAUAGAAAUAGGUAUAUAAGGAGUGGCAAUUUAGACAAUUCAGUAUGAUUGUAUAACUUAGAUUGAAGUGUGUGUGAGAAAUGCGUAUUUGGAUGUGAUGUGUGUCGAGAUAUAUUAGGAUGAUCUCUGAGAGAAUGUAACUGGCACGUGCCCCUUAGCCCUAACCACGUAAUUACGUAGCACAAGUAGAAGAAGAAGAGUUAGCAGAUGGACCAGAUGGUGACGGUGGCGUCCGUUAGGGGUUGCAACUGCUCCCCCACACCCACAGCCCCUCCACUUUUGGACACAUUCACUCACUCCACAUCGUCCUCAAAGCUCUCUUUGUGGUGGGAUAAUGCUACUUCGUAUCGAUGGGGUUGAUUUUUUAGUGUGACUAGAACAUAAAACGGUAUGUUACAUGUCAACAUAUACAAUUAGAAUGACACUUGAAAAAAAAAUUUCUUUAAAUUAUGUAAUGAUAUGUGGGAAUGAACACUGAAAAAUUUCUCGUAUUUAUGCCAUGCCACAUAUUACAAUUUGUGAUUUCAAUAUAAUUGUCGGCUUACUGUUAUUGGAUGACAUUCCUAUUAUGUUUUUGGUUUUUUUAGUUGAGGAUUAUAUACCCACAUUCUCAGUCAAAUAUUUUAAUGUUUCCUUAUUUAAUUAAUUAAGGAUUAAGUACUUAAAGCCCUUUAAUUUUUUGGUGUCAUUUCAAAUUAGUUUCAAUCUUUUUAAACAUUCCAAAUAAGUACCUAACCUAUUGAAAAUGUCACAUCCAUAAGUCCUAGUUAAUUUUUCUAUUAAAUGUACUUGUGGCAACAACAGAUUCCACUUAUUUGCUUACUUGGACUCUAAAAUAAUAAUAAACAUAACUUCAAAAAAGACAUGAAUAUGGAUAAAUAAAAAUAAUUAAACAAAUUCACGAAUAAAAUGGAAAACAAAAGGAAGAUCGAUAAAUCUACUAACAAAGAAGAGGGUUAAAACAUUCAGAUAGGGUUUCAAUGAGCAUGUUUAUGUUCAUGUGAUUUGCUCAUCCGCCAAUUUUUGGCUAGUAAAGCUUUCACUUCUUUGUAAGUGGUCAAGAUGGUGGUGGCCGCAUCAUGGCAGUCUAUACCAUUCUAUACCAUUUCAACAACCUCCUUGACCGUCUAUUGAUAUUGGAGACAAAAUAACUCUAAUGUAACAAAAAAAUUUAAUUGGAGCUUCACGGAUGAGACAUUUUCAAUAGUUUGAGUACUUGUUGAGAAUGUUUUAAAAAGUUGAAACCAAUUUGAAAUGACACUAAAAAGUUGAGAGAUUUUAAGUAUUUAAUCCUUUAAUUAAUAAAAUAAUAAUAAUUUAUCUAUUUAUUGAAAAAAAAAAUAAUCGUUAAAGAGCGACAUUCAAAAUAAAUUUCAAAAUUAUCGUGAAACAUUACAAAUUGAGAAGUAAAGCCGAAAAGAGAGAACAAAAAUGUUCGAAUAAGAAGAUUGCUGACAUAACGUUGAAAUCUAACUCAUGCAGUUUACUAAUUAUAGUAAUUUUUGAACCCAACACGAGUUGACUACGUCACUACGACAAUUAAAAUUUAUGAACAUGCUUUCACCUUCUACAGUUACAUCAAAAUGUUGAAAUUAAACUUGACGACGUUAAAUUAAGAACCUAAAUUCAGUUGAGGAGGAUUCAGCACAACAGGAUGUACAGUUUACCAACAGCUUCAUACAUCAUCCUCUCCUUAACUCGGCCGGUAUUCUCCUAUGUGGAUUUGGAUCCUCUACGAGGCAACUGGUCGGGAUCCUCUGACCAGUGUUAGUGGACCCUUGGAUUUAUCCAACGGCUAAAAUUAUUAUAACUUUUAGAGAUGCCCAUAUUUGUAGCCGUUGGAUAAAAAUUCAAUAGUCCACUAACACUGGUCAGGAGGAUCCGACCAGUUGCUUGCGAGAUAAUCCCUCCUAUGUAUCUCAAAGUGGGCCCAGUUUUUAAGGUUGUGGGGGUUUACAAUAUCAUGGUGGGUCGUUGACCCGUUCAUUGUUGGACUUGGUUCAAUCUGGCCUGGCUGUUAAUUUCUCUUGGGUCGAGCGAUGCACUAUCAAUUCAUCCAAAGCCCAUUGAUUUGGCUCUCUCCCUCUUCUUACCUGCCCUUCGAAAAAAAAGUUACCGCUAUCUAGAGGGUGCUAUGUUUACUUCUCACACACUAAUUUAAUUUAUAGAUCACUAAUUUAAUUUAUGUAUUUUGAUCCGACGGUCAAAAAAUUGGAAAUUGAGAAGGAAACAAGUUAUUCACCGAUGUUUAAAAAGAUGGUGCUAUCCACAUAUUUGUUUUAACUUUCAUACAUCCAUGUUAAUAUAUGUCAAGUGAUCUCCAAUGGAUACGCCAUAUAUGAAGUGGCAUAUAAGUUAUUUGACUCCUUACUUUCUAGCUUCUUUUUUUUACAGCAAACAAAGAAGAAGUCGAAUAUAUUUAAUUUAAUUUUUUAAUACAUGGAUCCCAUUAACAAUAAAAAAUGUGUUGUGCCUUUGCAUGACGGCAUGAGUUCGAACCUCAUCGGUGGUUAAUCUAACAUUUAACUUACGACCGCUAUUGUUUCACUCAAAAAAAAAAAAUUUAAUUUUUUCACUCCGCUCCGAAGCCUGAAUUUUUUUUAAAAUUGAGUGUGAAAAGUAAAAAAAACUUGAAGAACAUCACUUUAUAUGAAUUUCAUAGUUGUAUACAACUAAAUUUUUAUGAAAAUUUAAAAUUAUGCGUGUAAAGUAAAACGGGUAUUGAGAACACCACUUUAUAUAAAAUCCAUAGUUAUAUAUACAAAAUAUAUUCUCAAAAUAAUAUCCUUCGACCCAUAGACGUUAUUUAUGUUAUCCAUAAAUAUGGUAAAUUGAGUCAUCGUUAUGUUAUUUAUGUUAUACAUAAAUACUGUAAAUUGGCAAUACUAUAAAUUGAGCCAUCAUUAUUUCCAGUUGAAUGCAUCCGAAUUUCUACAUUCGUCCUCUUUGAUAUUAAGAAACUAAAGUUAGAGUUGUAAAAUUUACAUUUCAAAAGCCAAAGAAAACAGAAAGAUCAAAACCCUAAUGCUACUUAAAAUAUGUCAUCCCUGAUUUAUUAACUACAAGUAAACAUUAACCUUCCAACUCCUUCCAUCAUAUCCAGCAAAGUUCCAUUCAUCCAACAUCAAUAUUUCUUCACGUCAUCUUUAGUAGGCCUCCGAAUCCGCUUCCUAACUUCGACAACAUUCCCCUCCACAUCCACUAUCUCCACAACCCCCACAUCCUCAUCCACCACCUCCACAACAUCCCCCUCCACCGCCACCUCAUCUUCGGAAUCCGAUGAAGUCCCCACCACCGUCUCCUUGAUCUUAUGCCCUGUCUCCUUCACCGCCCCCCACGCCCCCUACACCGUGUCCUUCGCAGUCUCUGCCGCCUUGGUCGUCCCUUCCUUCACCUUAUCUGUGUUGGAACCAAGAAGUAUGGACAUUGAAUAUUGUAUAAUAAACUCAAGCACAUGCAGCACGGGCAGCAUAUAUUCUUGUUCUGUCAGCUUUCUAUCUCCACAUCAUGUGUGGUCUUCGACAAAGACAAGCACGGGCAGCAACUCUUGAAUAUUGUACAAUAAACUCAAGCACAUGCAGCACGGGCAGCAUAUAUUCUUGUCCUGUCAGCUUUCUAUCUUCACAUCAUGUGUGGUCUUCGACAAAGACAAGCACGGGCAGCAUGGAAAAGGUUAUGGAGCUGUUAGUAUUAUAAGUCCUCUCAGUUUUUUAUCUUUGUGUUGUCCCAAGAGUUUUGUAUAGGGAUGGGUUUGUAACCGGUUCUUUACUACUCAUAUAUAUGAGUUAGUUGUUAACUCUUACAACACAUGAAAUACAUAUAUUUUUGAACAUAAAAAUCUACAUGGUAUCAGAGCGGGUCCUUCUUUAACCUGUCUCUGGCCAUUUCUUUCCGCUGCUUCUCUCCUUCAACCUUGAGCCAUGGCUGAAGAAGAUUCAGUAAAUGUUGAGGAUAAAACCUCCCGUAAUUCUUGUUCAAAUUUUUCAGACACUGAGGUUAACACCAAUCAGCGUUUGUGUUCAGCCUUGCUGAAUGAGUUCAACUACCUACCUUGGUCUUGUGCAGUUUCACUUGCUCUAGGAGGAAAAGGAAAAAUUGGUUUUAUAAAUGGAAGCAUCGAAGCUCCUGAUAUCACCUCACCAACCUAUGAGACUUGGCUCUGCAAAGAUCAAUUCGUCAUGUCCUUACUUCUCAAUACUAUGGAGAAGCAUGUUGCAGAAAUUUUUAGCUACUCAGAGUCCUCACAAGAUUUGUGGAACUCGGUGAAGGACAUGUAUGGAAAUCAAAACAAUUAUGCAAGGGUGUUCCAACUGAAGAAAGACAUUGCAUGCAUUCAACAAAAUGGGAAGUCCUUUGUACAACACCUUGGCAGGCUCAAAACCAUGUGGAAUGAACUGGAUAUGUAUCUUCCACACACCACAGAUGCAAAUACGCUACUAAAGAGAGGGGAGGAAGAUAAGAUAUACCAACUCUUGGGAAGCUUAAGUUCUGAGUACGAGGAUCUCAGAAGCCAUAUACUUAUGAGUCAAGAACUGCCAACAUUCAAAAGUGUGUGUGGUAUUGUCCAACGUGAAGAAGCUAGGAAGAAAGCCAUGAAUGGUGAGUCUAGCUCAAGGCCAACUGAAGCUCUAGCCUAUGUUGCAAACCACAAAAUAUACAAAGGUAAGAAUUCCCAUCUCAAGUGUACCUACUGUAAUGGUGUUGGUCACGUGGAAGAAAAGUGUUGGAUCCUUCAUCCCGAGUUAAAGCCCAAAUUUACCAAAGAUGGGAAGAUGAUUCCAUCAAAACCUUCACAAACAAGCCAUUUCAAGAGUCAUCAUGCAGCAAACGUCACCUCUGGGGUUUCUUUUGGAUCCAUGGACUUCACUACAAGUCAUGUGACACUUAUAAAAGAAUUUGUUGCGUACUUGCAAACCAAGGAUCAUGGGAAUACUGCAUCAAACUUACAAAAGGAGGAUGGAGAACACGCUGCCAUGCUGGGGCAGUUUGCAGGAUUUCUUGCCAAUAACAAAUCUGCAGAACAAGGAGAGGUUUCAGGUAUUCUCAAUGCUUUCUCCACUGCAUUACAAACAAGCACUGAAUAUGAUUGUUGGAUAAUUGACUCAGGUGCCACUGAUCACAUGACAAACAAACUUUCAAAUCUGCAUAAUUUUCAAGCAUUCAAAAACCCCUCACUAGUGUCAGUUGCAUAUGGAAAAAAUGUGUCAGUUUUGGGUAAGGGAAAAGCUAGUAUACUCACAAACAAUAAUGAGUCAUUAUCCCUAUAUGUUCCCUCAUUUCCUUUUCAAUUACUUUCAGUAGGAAAGAUAACAAGCUCCCUAAACUGCCAUGCCAUUUUCUCACCAAACAACGUCGUUUUUCAGGAUGUCAUCACCAAGAAAGUGAUUGGUGAAGGGUUCUUCCUUAAUGGUCUCUACUACUUGUGCAAAAACUCAGUCAUGCCUAAAGCGUUUCAAGCUGGAACCAAGUAUUUUGAACAUCAACAACUUUGGCACCAAAGACUUGCUCACCCAUCUGAACUUGUUUUGUCAAAAUUGUUUCCCGGUUUUUGUCAAUCACCCCUUGAGUGUGAAACAUGUCAUUUUUCAAAGUCAGUCAGACUACCUUUUGUCACUUCUGUUUUUAAGACAUGUAAACCAUUCGAGUUAGUACACACGGAUGUUUGGGGACCUACAAUUGAAUCAAUGGAUGGUUACAAAUAUUUUGUCAUAUUUGUUGAUGAUUUCACUCGUACUACCUUUCUAUACCUUAUGAAAUCAAAAAGUGAGGUUUUCUGCAUAUUUAAAGAUUUCCAUAAACUUGUACAAACUCAAUACAACUCAAACAUUAAGGUGCUUAGGUCAGAUAAUGGCACUGAGUUUCUGUCCAAUAACAUGAUUCAGUACUUGAGUUCACAAGGGAUUGUUCACCAAACCAGUUGUGUAGGGACACCCCAACAAAAUGGGGUCUCAGAAAGGAAGAAUAGAGAUCUGCUUGAAAAAACUCGAUCUCUAAUGCUGCAUAUGAAUGUUCCCAAAAGAUAUUGGUCACAUGCUGUUCUCACUGCUACCUAUAUAAUUAAUAGACUUCCAAGUAAAGUAUUGGGGUUCAAAACUCCACAUGAAACUCUAAACAAUAAGGCAGUCAACUUGGCGCAUCUUAAAACGUUUGGUUGCAGCUGCUUUGUCCAUGUGCAAGCACCUCAUCGUGAUAAAUUGGAAGCUAGAGCAGUGAAAUGCAUUUUUGUUGGGUACUCACCAACUCAGAAGGGAUACAAAUGUGUUGACCCUAUCACAAAGAAAUGUAUUGUGUCAAGGGAUGUUCGUUUUGAUGAAACAAUGCUCUACUAUAAAAGCAAUGAGACUCAUAUUAAUGAGAAUGAGACCUUGAGUGAUUUGCUUCCCUUACCAAGAGUCACUGACCAUGAUACACUAGCAGAAGAUCACAUCUCAAAUGGUCAAAUCAUUGAAGGAGUUCAAGAUGACUUGAUUCCAAGUGUGGGCCAACUACACUCUCAAUCCAUCAGUGAGCAUACAGGUGAAGUUCAGACAGGCCCAAGCCCCUCUCUACCAACAACACCACUUCUAGAAGCUAGGAGAUAUCCCAUUCGAACAAGACAGCCACCAGCUAAGAUGAUGGACUAUGUUACUUAUGCCUCACGGCAUCCUCACACUAAAACUCUCAAUUACAACUGUUUCUCAAAGUCUCACACUGCAUUUCUCACUGAAGUUGCAAAUAAUGUUGAACCUAGCACCUUUCAGGAGGCAAACCAAUCAUCUAAGUGGAGGAAGGCAAUGUCAGAGGAAUCAAGCCUUGAGUGACAACAAAACCUGGAGUCUUGUUCAUUUACCACCUGGAAAAAAGGUUGUUGGCAGCAGGUGGAUCUUCAAGGUAAAAUUCAAAGCUGACGGCUCAAUUGAAAGGCACAAAGCCAGACUCGUUGCACGUGGAUUCACUCAAACUUUUGGAGUGGAUUACAAAGAAACCUUUGCACCAGUAGCCAAGAUGAACACUGUCAGAGUUCUCUUGUCUGUGGCAGUUAAUUCUGGUUGGUCCUUAUAUCAAAUGGAUGUAAAAAAUGCAUUUCUACAUGGAGAAUUACAAGAGGAAGUGUACAUGCAACCUCCACCAGGUUAUAUUCAAGCCCAAAAUGGUAUGGUCUGCAAACUUCACAAGGCUAUUUACGGUUUAAAGCAAUCUCCAAGAGCUUGGUACGCCAAGCUCAGCUCAGUGUUGGAAAGGGCUGGUUUUCUUAGAAGCAAUGCAGAUUCAUCUCUAUUUGUUCGAACAGGAAUGAGAGGAAGAUUGAUGAUUCUUAUCUAUGUGGAUGAUCUCAUAAUCACAGGUGAAAGUGAAACUGAGAUUGCAGCCUUAAAGCAAUCUCUACAAGAGACCUUUGCCAUCAAAGACCUUGGGAGGCUUAAGUAUUUUCUUGGCAUAUAAAUGGCUACCUCAUCCAAAGGACUAUUCCUAAAUCAAAGAAAAUAUGUAACUGAUCUUCUCUCAAGGAGACAAAUCUUCUUGAUUGCAAACCUGCAACCUCUCCAAUUGACAGCAAGCUCAAGCUUACUAUGUAUGGGGAAGCUCUUCAUAAUGUGAGUUAUUAUCAAAGACUGGUUGGUAAGUUAAUUUACCUCACCAUUACUCGUCCUGAUAUCACCUAUGCAGUGGGCAUAGUUAGUCAAUUUAUGCAUUCUCCCACCGUUGAUCAUCUCAACAUUGUCAAACGGAUCCUUCGUUAUCUUAAAGGGUCCAUUGGACGGGGAAUUCUCAUGCAAAAUAACCAAUCCACAAGCAUAAGUGGUUACACUGAUGCUGAUUGGGCAGGCAAUGCCAUUGAUAGAAGGUCCACGACAGGCUAUUGCACGUUUGUUGAAGGCAAUAUUGUAACUUGGAAAAGCAAGAAGCAACAGGUCAUUGCUCGGUCUAGUGCAGAAGCUGAGUAUCGUGCAAUGGCAGCCACUGCAUGUGAGCUUAUUUGGCUCAAAGGUCUUCUAUCUGAUCUAGGGUUUCAUUGUUCCAACUCCAUACCACUUAUGUGUGACAAUCAAGCAGCCAUGCACAUUGCUGCUAAUCCUGUCUUUCAUGAAAGAACGAAGCAUAUAGAGGUGGAUUGUCAUUUUGUUCGAUCUCAGGUUCAAUCUCAGGUCAUUCACACUGUGUUCACUCGCAGUUAUGAUCAAUUGGCUGACUUAUUCACCAAAGCACUACCAUCUGCUCAGUUUCAUCGUCUUCUGGGCAAGCUUGGCUCAAUAAAUCCCCUUGAUCCAGCUUGAGGGGGGGUGUUGGAACCAAGAAGUAUGGACAUUGAAUAUUGUAUAAUAAACUCAAGCACAUGCAGCACGGGCAGCAUAUAUUCUUGUUCUGUCAGCUUUUUAUCUCCACAUCAUGUGUGGUCUUCGACAAAGACAAGCACGGGCAGCAACUCUUGAAUAUUGUACAAUAAACUCAAGCACAUGCAGCACGGGCAACAUAUAUUCUUGUCCUGUCAGCUUUCUAUCUUCACAUCAUGUGUGGUCUUCGACAAAGACAAGCACGGGCAGCAUGGAGAAGGUUAUGGAGCUGUUAGUAUUAUAAGUCCUCUCAGUUUUUUAUCUUUGUGUUGUCCCAAGAGUUUUGUAUAGGGAUGGGUUUGUAACCGGUUCUUUACUACUCAUAUAUAUGAGUUAGUUUUUAACUCUUACAACACAUGAAAUACAUAUAUUUUUGAACAUAAAAAUCUACAAUCUGCAACCGUUUCCGCCACGUCCUCUGUUUUCUCCUUCAUACUCCAAACAUUCUCUUUUGUCUUCUCCUUCGCAUGCUCUGCUGUCUCCGCGGCCUUAUGAUUCCCCUCUUUUGCCUUCUCUGCUGCAGUCUCCGCCAUGUUCUUGGUCUUCUCCUUCAUCCCCUGAACAUUUUCUUUCGUCUUCUCCUUUGCAUGCUCCGCCGUCUUCCCCGCCUUACGAGUACCCUCUUUUGCCUUAUCAGCUACAGUGUCGUCCAUGUCUCUGGUUUUCUCCUUUGUUUCGUAACCGUACUGUUUUGCUUUCUCCUCUGGACUCUUCGUCUUCUCCUUCCUUUCAUGUGCGUAAUCCUCGAGUUCAUCUGCUGGAUCCUUUCCUCUGUAAUUCACAUCCUCAUUCCUCCGCUUCUUGUCAUAAAAUUCCCAGUCAGACCUCGAAUCUCUAUUCCCUUUCGGUACAUUUCGACCCUGAAUUUCAAACAUGUACUGGAUCAAAUUAAAUUUCGAAAUCCAUAACGAAAAAUUUUCUGAAAAUUUAACUUUCCCCCUCCAAACUCAUUCUUUCUAGCCUCUAGCCCAUCAUAUAAUAUUUAUCCGAAUAAAACCCAAUGAUUAGGAUUAAACUAAGCAACUUACCAAAUUAAGUUUGUGUGUCUGUUUUUAUAAUUUUUGGAUCCCUAAUAUACCCCAUCUAAGCAAGUAUGGAAAGUUCUUGUAAUUUUGUUUUAAUUGAUCACGUGCAUUGAAUUUGGCGAGGUCUUGUAGCCAUGAAAUAUGGUUCUAGAUGGAGGAAUUAAUUUGGAAAUUUUUUUAGUUUUGACAAUAAAUUUCAAUUUGAAUAUACCUAAUUUAGUGUUUAUUUUCAACAAUAUCUAUUGUUUAAUUUUAUGAAAAUAAUCGCCUACUAUGAAAAUUAAUUUUAUGAAAACAAUAUCUAUUGUUUAAUUUUAUACCUACAAUAUAAUUACAUGAAAAUAGUUUACCUACUAUGAAAAUUAAUUUUUUGAAAACAAUAUCUAUUGUUUAAUUUUAUGAAAAUAAUUUACCUAUUGUAUAAUUACAUGAAAAUUAAUGUGCCUACUUUUUAAAUUUGUAACAAAAUUAAUUUACCUACUUCUUAUCGUGGUAUUAGUAUACAUAAAUGUAGAAUAUAUGUCCGUAUAUAUUUGAUCUAAUUAGGUUUUGGAUUGGAGGAGUUCACACAAAAUUAAAAAUAUAUUAAACAAAUUAAAUGUCUAAAAGAAACGUAUAAGAGAUUUGGUGGCAUGAUUUUGUAAAUAAACACAAAUUCAUGGACAUCUUUUAUCCAACAUGACAUCAUAUUUAAAAUUUGGGUUUUAUUUAGAAGUUAUAAUAUAUGUGGGUUUUUGUCUAGAGUUUAAGAGUUGUAAGGAUUUAAAUCUAAAGAACCCAAAAAUUUUAUGGACUUGUCAAGAAAAUUUUAAAGAGACGGACCAAUGAUCUAUACUAAGUGCACCGAUAUUAUCCCUAACUUGCAUACACUCUGUGAAAACAGGGAUGCAACCAUUCAUUAUGUUUGCAUUUUAUGUUGUCAAUUUUUUCGAUUCGGAUUCUUAUAUUCUUCGACAAGUAUUACUGUUAAUCACGUACUUAAAUUGAGUAAUUACCUCGGAGAAUUUGGAGGCGGAGGCGAAUCAGACUCUCAAGAAUUUGUGAGAUGAAUUUCUAAGCGAGACUGAUGAAGGGGUUUGAGGAAAAGGCUUGGAGAAGUUGAAGAUGACAUUUUUUGCCAUGGAAAUUACUACCAUCUUGGCUGCUUUCUUUGUUCUCUGUUUCUGUUCUUUCUCUGUUUAGAUUUUGUUUUCUGUUUAUGAAAUCAUAUUAUACCACCGCUUCCUGGGGUUGCAUGGGGUGGAAAAAAAUCUCAAAAAUCCCGAACCGAACCGAAAAAAUCCCGAUCCCAAAUCAAAAAUUUCCCAAAUCGAAAUUUCGGUACGGGAUUUGGGAUUGGCUUCUCGAUAUUUCGGAAAUCCCAUACUGAACCGAAAAUAUAUAAUAUUAAUUAUAUAUAUAUACAUAUAUAUACAUAUAUAUUAUAUGUAUUAUUCUUUUAUAAUUGAUGCUAGUAGUUUCUAAUUCAUGCUCUGCAACCUAGAAUGCCAUACGCCUUACAUAUUUUUCAUGUUCUGUUUGAUAUUCAUUUGGAUUUUAUUAUUGUUGCUGCCAUGACUAAUGAUUUCAGAAGGCUUGAUUCUUUUGUCUCUCAAGUCUCAACAUAUUGCAAAAAGGGUUUAAUUAAUUUGAAUUUUGACUCUAAUAAAAAUAGUCAGGCAUGCCAAUUUUAGAUUAAAUGGUAGUGUGAAUGAAAUGACAUUCCUAGUUCACGAAUGUGUUCUUGAAUUAUAUAUUUGAACAACAAUUCAUAAUUUCAUAUUUUAAUUUGGGAUUCCCAAUUUGUCCCGAAAUAAUGUGUUCUUGAAUUAUAUAUUUGAACAACAAUUCAUAAUUUCAUAUUUCAAUUUGGGAUUCCCAAUUUGUCCUAAAAUCCUGAAAAUAUUUCGGGAUUCCCGAAAUUUGGGAUUCCCGAAAAUUUGGUUUGAGAUUAGUCUCCAAAUUCCGGUCCCGAAAUAGUAUGUGGAUUAUUAGUCAUAUCAUAAGUUACUGCAACUUCUAUUUUUAAAAUUUUAGACAUUAAAAGGAUAAAAAAAAGGCUGCUAUUUACUUGCGCAAAGUUGAAAUUGAAAGAAAAAUAUUACGGAAAUUACAUUUUGUAAAUUAUGUUUAAAUAUAAAGUCGUUGUUUAACGGGUAAUUUCCAUCAUAAUUCUAUUGGAGUGUUUACGUAACCGUAAUAAAAAAUAUGAGGAAUUGAAUUGAGAAUGAGUUGGAAUGAGGAGAAGUCGAAAUCAGAUUCCUGUUGAAGCUGUUUACUUAAAUAUUCUGGAAUCGGAAUAGAAAUUACACUAAUUCCAUAAAGCUGUUUACUAAUUCAGUAGAAUCGGAAUAUAAAUCAGUAUGAUUACUAAAAUGCCCUUGUCCCAAAUCAAAUAUUUAUAUACUUUUUUUAAUAAAAUUUAAUAUAAUAUAUAAUAGUAAGAAAAAAAAUUAAAUUGCUUUUUUAUUUCAUAGACACCAAAAUGCUUUUGUUUAUUAUUAUUUUUUUUUAUAAAUUUAAGUAUUUACUUUAAUAUUCAAAUUUUCUCGCUCAAAUUGUAGUUUCUUCUUUUUGGCAUAUGCAUGGAGUUGUGCAUAAUGUGAAUGAGUAUAAAGUUGUGCAUAAUGUGAAUGAGGGCAUAAUAUGAAGAAAAAAUGCGUUCCUAAUUCCCUCAAACUCCUAGAAUUCAAAUACCUCACCUAUCCAGGGAAUCCCACUCCUCCAAUUUGAGGAAUUGCAUUCCUUGUUUCGGGUGGGGUCCACCACACUAUUGAUUCCCCAAUAUUUAGUUAACACCAAAGUAAUCCGUAAUCAGAAUUUAAUUUCGUUUUUUAUUCUCAUUAGCCUUACUAAACGCGCUUUAUGUUGACAAUACAGUAAUAAUUUAUGCGCUAUAAUUUUGUUGGAGUAUUUUUGCAUAUGCAUCAAAAUCUCAUUCAAUAAAUCAACAAUGUUUCCUAUAGAUCUUUAAAAGCUCAUCAACAACUUGAACUAAGAACUCUUUGUUCAUAAAAAUGAUCUGUUUUCUCAAUACAUGAGAACAUUCAUGUGCACCAUCACUCUCAACAAGCAUUGAUAAUCGUUUUUAACCCCCUUAACCCUAUAAUAGCAGAACUAUCAAAGUAUUUUUCAAUAAAAGUUGUCGAAUCUUUGAAUCACAUAUUGGUAUGUGCACGCCGAAGGUUUGAAUCACAAUAGUUGGUUUUUACAUUGGACAUGUCAUCGUUUUUUUCCGAGAGUUAGUUGACAACCAGUUGAUCGGACCAGCACAAUUGCAGAUGUUGAAAAGAAGUCCAACACAAUUAAGAUGGUAACCCGAUGAGCGCAUUCCAAGUAUCAUUUCAAGCCUCUUUCCCUUAUGCUCGGAAUGGAUCUCAAGGCCGGCGAAGAUCUCGAGAUCUCUGACACCAAGAUGAUGGGAGUAAGGUGUGCCAUAUCGAAAUUGGUGAUUGUUGAUGAAUUAGAGGUUGUGAGUUUGGAGGAGUUAGAUUUUGUGAGCCAUCACCGAGUCAUGCAUGACGGCUAAGGAGGAACUAACAAUCUGAAUCAUCGGAUUGAAGUCUAGGGAGGAGGAUGAAUUUCUCUAUUGAAUAUGGCGAGCUGACAGGAUGAGAGCAGGAAGAUUUAGUUCUCACCAAUAUCCCAAACUAUUUGAUAAAUAACCUCUAUAUUUUUUGGGUCUUCGCGGCACCUCAAAAUGCCCAUCUAUCAACAGUAACACUGGCUUUGUACGUAGCAAAAAACGCAGAACGUUGGAGGAAGAAAUUCCAAUUCUGGCAGCCCAUUCUCUGCCACCGAGGAUCGAUUCAAGCAAGAGCAAGUCGUCAAGAACCAACCAUUUCAAAAAAUCAUUGUGUCAGUUGGUCUUUCCACCGCAUCCACCAAUUAUCUCGAGAGAGUUGUGCAUAUUUUAGAUAUAGCUCAUAAAAAUAGCAUGAUAUUUGUCACCUCCUUUGGGUGACACUAGACUAAAAACAUAUUCAUAACAAUUGUGCCUAUUCAUCUAUCCUUGCACAUAUCAUAUUCUCAUGAAUUGGUAUGAUCCCUUUGAAUAAUUUCACCCGAUCAUCUAUGUGGAGACCAUGUCCACUCCUAGGCGCUUCACCUUUCGUAUUUCAUUUUUCUCUACCAUCAAAGAAAAAUAUAGUGCCUAAUUAGAUGACCCAAAUGACAAAAACGUUCUUAAAAAUGUUAUUUCUUGUUACGUGUCAUUAUUUGACAAAAAAGUAGAUUUAAGUUGCAUAAUUGUUAAAUUAUAACGCAAUAUAAAGUUUUGGGUGACUAAUUCAAACUGUGGAUAGCAAUAUUAUGCGACAAAUGAUUGUGGAAGUUAAUUUGUUGAUCAUAUUGCACCGAAUUUUGAAUUUUCUAAAAUAACCACAAAAGUAAAGUAUGUUUAUUAGAAUGCACAUUUUGAAAAAAAACAUAAAAACAAAAAAAAAAAUUAAUCAAAAGAGCUGCAAAUUAAACUAAAAAGUAAAAAAAAUCUCAUUAUUUCUUCUCACGUCCCUGCCGGCACGCGGCCUUAGUUCCACCAUAUCAGCUUCCAUCACCUUCCCUUCCGCCACGCCAUCGCCGUCCACAUCAACACCAACUUCCACAUCACUCUCACUAUUAACGUCAUCAUCAAUGACCGCCACUCCCACUUACUCAUUCAGGAGCUCCAACCACCGUCUCCUUAAUCUUCUGCCAGGUCUCCUUCACCGCCCCCACGUCCCCUUCACCGUGUCCUUCGCCGUCUCCGCAACCUUGCUCGUCCCCUCCUUCACCUUCUCCGCCACCGUCCCGGCCACAUCCUCUGUUUUCUCCUUCAUACCCCACAUACUCUCUUUCGCUUCGUCCUUCACGCUCUCCGCAGUCUCGGCUGCUUUAUAAGUCCCUUCCUUUGCCUUAUCGGCCGCAGUAUCUGCCAUUUCUUUGGUCUUCUCCUUCGUCUCGGAAGUGUACUCUUUUGCCUUUUCCUUGGCGCUCUCCGCCGUCUCCGCUGGUCUGUUCGUUCCCUGUUUCGCUUUCUCCGCCAUUGCUGGGCUGCGCUUUUCGCGUUCUGCUUUGCUUCCGGCUCGUACUCCUUGGUUGUCUUUUUCAUUUUCUCUGCUUUUCGCUUGCUCUUUUCUAAUCCUUCUUCCAUGGUUUUUUUAGCAUGGCUGCUCACAUGCGCCGACCCGUACUCUCGGUCCUUAUUUAUCCAGUUCUUGUUAGUCAUAUCUGUUCUCUUCCGCCGCAUGUUUACCCUGAAAUUAAUUCAGAACAAAUUUGAUCAAUACAUUUUUGACAAUGAGGAUUCGACCGGAGAGCACAUGUCCUGACUAACUAGCCUAAUUCGCGUCUGUAAAUGUUACCUCAGAGAAUUUGGAGGCGAAGCAGACGCGGGAGACUUUCGGAGAUGAAUGUCGAAGAGAGAGUGACUGAGAGGAUGGAGGAAAAGAUCUGGAGAGGUUGAACAUAACAUUUUUUUCUAUGGAAAAUACUACCAUGUUCGCUUCCUCUGUUUUUCUUUCGUUCUCUACUAAAUUUGGUCCCAGAUAUCCUAUCACCGCUUACUAGGGUUUGCAUGUUAUAAUGAGAUUAAGGAGAGUAGGUGGCAGCUUUGUGGCUUGACACGUGUGACUGUCAAUUAGGGGGAGCUGCAGUUCAAUCCGUCGCGGAAUCUCUACUAAUUAACUAUGAAAUUACCAGUUUAAUUCUCUAAUUAAAACAGAAUAUAAAUAAGAAAUAUAAGGUUGAAAUGUAAUUUCAUACAACUAAAUUUUACUAUUUUUUUUCAAAACCUCAUUAUAUGUAAUUCUAAUAUAUCUCUAAUUAAAAAAUAAAUAAAUAAAGAACUUUCCACUCCCACAUCCUCUAUCAUUCUCUUCCUCUCUUCUAUUUCAAAAAAAAAAAAAAAAAAAAAAUUCACAUACUUUGUGUGUGCCCAUAUGCUAGUGGUAAAAUAAGGAAAGAUAUCAUCUCAAUCUCUUUCACCAAAGCUCACGGAUCAAAUGAUCCGAUCUUUUAUGAUCCGGUCUUUUAAAUUUGAUUUAACGGCUGAAAACAUAGACAACUUUUAAAAGUUAUCCUUGAUCCGUGAGUUCGGUGGAAAACAAAUGGAGUGAGCAUUUCAGCGGAUGAUUAACCGAAUGAAAUACCAUAAUAACGCGGUAAAAUUGAAAACAGUAAAAGUAAAAACAGUUGAAAAAAGAAUACAGCUUUGGAGUUGCAGAUUAGAACAGUUCGGAAAUAAUCAUAAAUAAAUUCACUACCCAAUUUUAUUCACUGUAUCAGAGCAAGAAUGGUAAUAAAUGGUGGAGGGAUUUUGCUGCUCCGACGGUUUCAGUCAGGCAAAAAUGCCAAUCGGGGCACAUUCCUCCGGAGCUCCGGUACGACUGCCUCCGAGGCUAGUUUCGGAAGUCCACCAUCUUCAGGUACUGACAAAAGUUCUUCUCUUUGCUUGCUUUUACUCACAUAUCCCUCUCAAUUAACAAGUUCGUAUUCAAAUAAAAGUAGCUUCAUUUGGUUGAUUUGGUUCUGGAAGCUUAUACUCUUUGAGGUUUGUUGUUAAUUGGUGUCUCUCUUCCAUGUUUAGGUUUGUAUGUGCAAAUCUAUGUGGCUUUGAAGCUUCAAUACAUUAGAUUUCUUAAGAUAAAUCAUUGGCAGGAGCUGUUAUUUGCACUCCAAAAAAAUCAUUCUGCACUUUUCAAUGGAAAAGUCAUAUUUUUGGUUGCUUGCAGCCAACGGUUUAAACUUACUAUUAGUUUUGGUAAACCAGGGUUACAUUAUAAAGUUAAGUAGAGCAUUGUCAUGUAAUUUGACAAACAAGUAUCUUUUGUUAAUGUUGCAUUACUGAAACAAAAGUAUGAAUACAGGCUGCUCGUGCGAGGGACUAUAAAUUCGAGUAUUUAUAGGACACUUGAAGAGCAAUAAUGCUUAGUUCUAAUUGUACUAUCAUUAAAAAGAACAAUUGAAAUUCUGUGAAACAAGUAAAUGUGGCUGGAUGUUAUGCAUGCAUUGCAGUUGCAGAUACAAGCAAUACAGGUAUCUAGGAGGAGAAGCCAUCUUCGGCCAUUCAAAUUGUUCGUAUUCUUUGUUCAUGAUAAUUUGGUUUGGUGCUUACCCUGACUCAUUUAUAUGUUCAUUAGUUCCACAUUGAUUUUGCUUAGCUUUCAUGUAAUCUCCUGCGAGUAUCAUAUCUACAUAUCUAUCUGUGAAGGAUUCCCUUGCCCAUGUGUUUGAAUUAAAUUUUUAAAUUUGAAAGUUCCAACAAGAAUAUUUAAUGUUUAUGUUUUCAGUUGCUCAAAUUGGAUUGACUGCUAAUGAUAUAUUUAGGUUCUCGUAUAGUUGUGUGCGUAAACAUUUCUAGCAUUAUACUUUUGGGACCGUCUUCUGAGAAAAUUAACCAACAAAAGCUUCAUUGCUCCAAAAUUCUAUAAAUCACGUCAUUUAUGCACCUGCUCUUGGCCUUUAUCAUUUUCUUCAAAUUUAAGGAAUAUGUUCUACAUAUAUUUCCAGACUUUCUAUAGAAUUGGUGAUAGCUAAUACUUUGUCGUGGUUGCGUUAACAGUAUUUGUCCACUGAAUGUGGUAGGACUACAUAGUAUCUAUUUGCAGGAGGAUGAAUUAUAGGUAGUCUUGUAAUGGGUUAGAUCUCUCAAUAUGACCCCAUUUGCUUCUCUGGCGUUUCCUAUCCUAUUGUCCCUGGAGAUUUUUACAAAAUUGUCAUGUUGGUCUAGAUUUCUGUCUUUUGAAGAUUUAAUGUAUUAUUGUUGAAUACUGUGUUGUGCUUGAAUUCAAGAUCUAUAGCAAACAAGAUAUAGCAUUGUAUAAGAAUUUUGUCCGAAAAUUACAUCAUGAUUAGCAAAAUAUUGAAUCCUUCUUUAUUGUUCCUCCUCCCUAAAAGGAAUUAAACCUCACUUUGUUCAUACCUUAUAAGAACUAAUCUCUAACAGAUAGUCUAAAACCUAAUGAUAUCCUUCCUGUCAAUUCACUUACUUGAAAUAAAUUAAGAGGAACAGACAUAAAUGAUAACGGAGCUGUUCACACCCUUUUUAGCAUCUCUCACACCCUUCUUUAUUACUGGCCUUAGAUAAAUCAAACGGAAACAAUGGACAAGAAUAAACAGGGGUUGUAGGAGGAGAAAAAUUGUGUGUAUUUAUCAUUUCCCAUGUUAAACUGAUUUACUUACCAAUCUGUCUUUUCGACCAUCAGUUCUUUCCACGUUGAACAGGUUAAGCGUUUUUCUCCGUGAUCGACAUCUAUGUAACCGCCUGGGGCAGGUGUUGGCUUGCAUGCAACUUCUCAAAUUACUUUCUCACCUGGAUAUGAAUCCGCGUUGAAUAGGUUGAGCGUUUUUCUCCGUGAUCAACAUGAUAACAUCUAUAAAACUGUCUAGGGCAGGUGUUGGUUUGCAUGCAGCUUGUUGAAUCUCUAUGCAUCCACGUUCCACAAGUCGAGCAUUUUUCUGCAUGAUCAACAUCUAUACAACCAUCUGCGGCAGGUGUAAUCACCUAAGCAUGUUUGGUUUGCAUGCAUUUUUGUCGAGCCUCUUUAUUACCUCUAUAAAAAUCCCAGUUAUCCUACGGUCUCAUCACAAUUCAGUAUUCAAGUUUUUUCUUCCCCGUCAUUGCCAUAAAUCUGCUAAAGCUUCUUUCUUGUAGAAGCAGUUGAAGUUUUCACUAUCCUGGUGAUGAAUAUACGAGCAAAUUGUUGUCAUGGAGUUUCCUAGUCAAUGUGAUUACCACAGUUAUUCUGUGGCCAACUCUGUAAGUACUAGGCAGCAAUACAGCAUUCAUAUGGCUUUUUUAUGAUACGGUUUCUAAUUUGCAGCUUUGAUAUGAUAUAUGAUAUAUACAUGAAUUUUUUUUUCAGCAGGUACCAUGUGUGAAUUUGUAUAAACGGCUUAAGUUAGCAGGCCUCUGUUAGGAUCUCCAGCUUGCUUAUGCGCUGUUUGGAUUACCUUCUAUGCUUAAAUUUUGUCAGUGAUCCUGUUUAAAGUUUCCUUUCUAUUACCUUAUGGAGGGAGUCGGAGUAUAUCAAAAUCGUACUCUAAAAAGGAAGCUCAUGAAAUAGCAAAAUCUUAAGUUUAAUUCGCUUCUAAUUUUGUCCAAAAGCAAAGAUAGUAGCUUCGUUAGUGGAUACAGAUGGCAAACGCAUGGGAAUAGAGAAGAAAAAUAAUAAAGCAAGGCACUAUAUAUUCAAUAGUUUUCUGUUGUCGAACAGAUUAUGUUUAUGCAACCACGAAAUUGCUAAGGAGAUUUUUUUUAUUUUUUAUUCUUUGAUGUAGGAUGGACUCAAAAGCAGCUUUGAUUCUCGCCUUGUGAUUGAAGAAAUGACAAGCAAGCAGGACAUGGAAUCCAACCGUGAAGUUGAAGUGGUUCAGUGGACGACGAAAAUGAAAACACAAGUUCCAUUGAGCUCAUCAGGUUGUGCUACCCCCUUUACUCACAUUCCCAACAUUAUAACAAUCGUUUACUCACAUCCCUAACAUUACGAGCUCUAACCCUCUAACUAAAAAAAUCUUAAUAUAAAAGUUUAAAUACAACAACUUAAGAGGGGACCUUCUGGGUUUGCUAUUUCAGGGGAGGCCUUAAUUUGCAAUGUUGGGCUUCAGUCUGUCUCAUAUGGCGUUUGUGGUACUUGUCGUACUACUCGCUGUGGGGUUCGGUUGCAAAGAGAGGAAAUCAUCCCUGGAGAUAGCAGUCCCUUUACUUCUUCCUUUUAUAACGUUCAUAAGCUAACACUGACAGGCCAAUCCACCUCCACCAGUUGCUCUUGGGAUGCUGGCUUUAGAGAGAGACAGGGUGUGAGUCUUGAGAGUAAGAGAGGCAAACGAGCGAGGAAAUGUGGUUUGGCAGAAGGCAAUGACUGUAUGUGGUAGCCCUGGUUUUCCAUGGCGUUCUGUGCGAGAAAAAGAUGGAGAAGUAUGGCUCCACAUAUGUCCAUACAGUCGUAGCCCUAGUCUGCCAGAUUUGAACUAAAAGAGGCGCCAGAAUAUGUCACUCUCUUCUGCGUCCUCUCUAACUCUCCCUUCUCUCUUCCAUUCUCUGAUUCUGUUCUCUUUUUACACACUGGUCAGAUGGCUAUUCCUAAACCACCACCCUCCGGCCACUUGUCAUCUGAUCCUCACCUCGUCAAACUUUCCACAACACUGCCAAUGUACUCUCUCUUUCUUUCAACCCAAUUUCCUCACUCUCUGGCAUUCCUCCUCAGCCUUUUCUUUAAUUUCUUUUAUCCUCUUUUCGUUCCCUCACGAUCCUUACCCCACUCAUCUGCACCCCCUUACGUGUUCUUCUCGCUUUGGCCACACCUGUGCUCUCUCCACUGGCAGCAUCACAAGUUUACCAACUAGACCACGGCCUGCAGCUUAUACAACCCCACCCUCACCCACACAAACAUAUAACCAGCCCCUACCUCUCUGAAGAUCAUCGCUAUCAACAAACGCUCUGUGUUCAUAGACAAUGGAAAACUUCCAUCCACCUUCUGUCCCCUCUACAACGACCGUAACCUCUACUCACCAGACAAAUAAUUCGCAGUCCUCCACUUGUGAACCAAUGAGCUGUUUGCCUUCAACUACUUGUAGUCCUUCAGCCACUCAGUACAGGUAUUACCCGUACCAUCAGGCCGGUCUCCCCAUGUAUCCAUUCCUGGGUGGCGCCCAACCGAAUAUGGUUCUAUCCAGAGAACAGGCCAGCCUAGACCGAUCCGGAUGGAUAUUGAAUGCCCUUAUGUCUAAGUCUGCAAGAAACGAGAGAAAGAUGGCGAGACAGAGGAGUCUCAAUUUGAGCAGAAACGCAGCCAAUACUGCUGUUUCUUGUUCUCCCCCAGUGAGUAGGCAUCCUCCAUUUCAUGGGAAUCAUGAUGAUGAUACAUGUGGAAUCAUUUCCACGUCAUCAUCUGGUAAUGGUGCUGAUUUGCAGAACACCAAAGAACAGCUCUACCCGUUCUGCACGCCGGAUAACAAGGUACGGGUUGAUCUUUUGUCUUCUCAAAUCUGAAUUUCAAAUGAGUUUUUCUUUAAACUAUUAUUUCCGUGUAUUCUUAUUUACAGAAACUGAGACCGCUGUUUAACAAGGAGUUGAAGAAUAGUGAUGUUGGACCUUUGGGCAGGAUUAUAGUACCGAAGGUGAGGUCUUUGUUUAUUUCGGUACUUUCUGUUCCUUUUACUUCUUUUUGUUUUUCCAUUUCUGAGAAACUAUGACGGAAGAGAAGAACUAAAAAGGCGGAUCAACCAACUUCUUACUUUGAUUUCUCUCUCUUUUAUUGACUGCUGCAAAAUGUUUCUGAUUUAGACUGCCUAGUAAAAAAUCCCUUCCUCCUUUCUAAGUUUUUGCACCAACAUUUACUCUUUCUAUGUUUUCUCCUCGUUCACAGAAAGAAGCCGAAAAUAACCUUCCAAUGCUCUCCGGCAAAGAAGGCAUCCAGCUGACUGUCAGAGAUGUACAUUCCGACCAGCAUUGGGAGUUCAAAUACAAGUAAGCGUAUAGACAAUACUAUUAAUUUUAUAUUUUAAUGCCAAACCAUCUAUGCAAGAGUUUUCUGCCAAUUAAUUAAGGCCAUUUUUUUCUGCUUGGUUAAUUUUACACAGGUACUGGUCAAAUAACAGAAGCAGAAUGUAUGUGUUCGAAUAUACAGGUAAAAAGUAAAAACCGAUGGAAUUGCUCUUAAUGUUCAUUGACAAACACAAUACAUGUCAUGUUUACUGAGUAUCCAUAUUUUCAAUGUAACAGGCGCUUUUGUUAGGCAAAAAAGGCUGGAGGCGGGAGAUUGCAUUUAUCUGUACGAGGAUGAAUGCAAGAACAUCGUGAGUCCUCUUUUCGUCCUUAAUUAAUACAGAAUCUGUUGCAAAUUAAAGUAGGAUUUUGAAAGUUGAAUACAAAUUAAAGAGUCUGAACUGCAUGCCUUGUGACAAUAACUUUUUCCGUUAUGAUGACGAUGUCCUCUGGAGGAUAGCGUGAAGGUACAUAAUAAGGUAAGGUGCAUGUAUGGAUAGGAUAGGAUGGCCAUUGAUGAGCGCCUAGUAGAUUAUGCGUUGUAAAGCACGGGUGUAGCACGAGUAUUUUGCACGUUGAACCGAGCGUUUAGAAACGGCACUAACUAGUUGGCAGGAAGACUGAAACGGGAGUUUUAGGCUUGGAUUAUGUGUAGAAUUCAGUUCAGUGGGCCAUAAUCCCCUGAAAAUAAUAAUAUUCCCAAAUGAGAAAAUCUAGAGUUAACGGAACGACCAUUAAUACAGAGUCAUAUCUUACACAGAUUUUGAACUGUCAUUGUUUUCUGCAUAUUAAAUUAUGCAUUGUUGGAUCUAGAUUUCAGUUUGUGCAUAAUUAGACUGUUUUGCUUCUCUUAAUAUGAUGUUAUGUUAACUAAGCUGCUUUUUUCGUCCAUGCGAGGAAACAGUACGUCUACGUAGAAAAGGUGCCAAGACCAGCACGUGUAGCUGAGCCCUCCUCCUCCUCUCAACAGCGUAAUACUACGACUAACCAUACAGACCAAACUGCCAACAUGAACACUAGCCUCGAGGCCAACAAUACCGACAACAAAACUCCCAACACCGAUGCUAAAACCCAUAGAAGUAACCCCUAUGUGGCCUCAAACUUGUCUUCACCUUCACCUUCCCCUUCACCAUUUACCUAUGUAGCUGGCUACGAAGAAGACGAAUUAUCUCUAGAACUACUUAUGGAACAACUUAAGCAAGAGCAAGAAGCUAACGUUUUCGCGGAUGCUGUGUCUAUGACCUCUGCUUCUUCAUCAGCCUAUAUGGAACAUGAGGAAGCUACUACUUUGUCCAACAACAUCGCUAAUCGCCAUAUUGAGAUAUCUACCAAACCACCGUCCACGUUGUCUGCAGGAAUCGAUCCUUCAUCGUCAUCAUCUUCACAGAGUAGAGCAAUGGUGAGGAUGGUAAAUGAUGAUCAGCCUGAGUUCGAUGACUGCUACAAAGGCCUUGGGACGCUCCCAGAAGUCGACCACUACAAGUACGUGUGACUAUCGCCUCUUCGAUCACAACGGGGCCGCAGCGGACGACAAGAGAACUGAGUGUUUCAUGUGCUUCAGAAGAUAUAUAGGAAAAACAAAUUAUCGAUGUGAUAUUAAUUUUUAUAUUCUGAUGUCAAUUAUAUUCUCAAUGAAAUCAAAUUAAAGUAUUUUCAUACUUUAUUUUUCUUGAAUUAGUUUUACUUGCUUCCCAAAAUUUGAACAUGAGAAUUGCUAUUAACACUUUAAAAAUCUCAUUUGACAUUCAAAAGUUUUUAUAUUUAUAAAGAAAAAUUUACUUGCGAAGUGCGUACAAUGAGAUUUUUGAAGUGUCGAUAACAAUUUCAUUAAACUAAUCUAAAUUAUUGAGACGAAAAUUCAAAUGCGCAUGUGUAAGUAGGAGCUUGUUCGCUGAAAUCAAUGUGACUACGUCCAUUACUCCAAUUGAUGACCACAUGCUCAUAUAGUGGGUGACUGUUGACUCUUUAAAUGGACCUUUUCGCAAAGAGAUUCUUGUGUUCGUACACUCACAUACCGCAUCAGACAUAAGGAGUUAAAUUGAAUAAAUCAAGACAAAAAAAUUAGUCUAUUUAGCAUUACUCAGUCCAAAAUACUACAAAGUGAGUGUAUGGUAAGAUGUCAAGUGAUUUGGCCAUCCGCACUCAAAUGACAAGUCGUAUGAGGGAAAAACGACUAGCCGUAUAAUCCUCGACUGACAAUUGCACAGUACACAUCGAGUGAGGAUUCUCGCUGAAUCUUUUUGUGAGGAUUUCAGGUAUACUUUAAUUAUAUCCGUUCAUCGUACAUUGUGCGGUCAGUUUUUAUUAAAUACUAUUUAUAUUCAAUUUUAAAUAAAAAAUUUACAAUAAUUUCUGACCAUACGAUAUACGAUGAAUGGAUGUUAUUGGAGGAUCAGGAUCCUCACAUAAUCCUCCUGGGUACACAACAUCAUCAUCGUCUUGGCGAUGAGGCGAUGACUCAUCCAUCCUUCAAGCUUCUGCCUUUCGGGGGAUAAAUCUCUCUGAUCCAAAAACCCCACACUCCCUCACUUCUCCUCCCGCCAUGGCCAUGUCCACAACCUCCUCCUCUCUCUCCACUCUCUCUUCCCUCUCUCUCCACCCCUAUCCCCGCCUCUCCCUCCUCCCAUUCACCGCCGCAGCCACCCCCGCAACCAAACCCAGAAAACCCAUUUCCCUCUUCCUCUCCUCUUCCCGACCCACCACCGUUAUCUUCAAUGCCGCCGCGUCCGACGUCGAGACCUCCUUCUUUGACAACGAGGACCCCGAAUUCGACGGCGUGUUCGAGCCCCCGGAGGCCCCCGAAGACUUCGUCCCCCCGCCUUCCUUCGAUGAGGAUUCGACCGAGACCGAGGACGAAAUCGCCGCCGCGUACGAGGAGCUGUACGGCCCUGCGUACAGCGGCGUGACCUUGCUGGGGAACGACAUUUACGUGAUGGACUCGAAGGUGAAAAAGCUUGGGGCUUUUGGGAAGCUGAAGAAGGAGAAGAUUAGAGAUGGGUUCGAGGAGAGGGUGGUGCAGGUGAGGAGGGUGACGAAGGUGGUGAAAGGAGGGAAGCAGCUACAUUUUCGGGCGAUUGUGGUGGUUGGCGACAAGCAGGGCAAUGUGGGUGUCGGCGUCGGGAAGGCCAAGGAGGUUAUCGGGGCGGUGCAGAAGUCUGCGGUGAAUGCUAGAAGGAACAUUAUCAGUGUGCCCAUGACCAAGUACCUGACUUUUCCUCACAGGUAUUGCCAUUUCGAUUUAUUUUUGUUUGAAUUGUGCUUGAAUUGUUUGUGUUUGAUCUUUUGGUUGUGUGGGAAAUACUGCAUUUUAUGUGGAAUUGAAUGUCAUUGCAUUUCGGGCUAUAUUUGGCUAUCUGCGUAUUUGUGGUCAAUUCUGCAUUUCAGUUGGGUUUAUUUCAAUGACAUUGUGUCAGAAUUGUGUGAAAAAUGAUACUUUUGGUCAUUUGAUGGUGUGGAAAGUUCUGCAUAUAGGAAUUCAUAGGAACUGAAAUCGAAUGUAACUGCAAAUUCUUAGAAUUGAGUAUAGACUGCAUAUCAGUGUGAGAAAUAUUUGAGACAGGAUGGUGAUUGGUUAAACUUGGAGUCUGAGGUCUGAGACAAUAUGGGGAGUUGAAAUUGGUUGUGUAUGUGGUUUGAUCACAUUGCAUGCUCGCUGAACUUGAAGUAGUAUGUAUUCUCCGAGUCUUAUGGUUGAUAUUUGGUGAGUCACUUAAGCGUCAUUUACACUUGAAGUAGUCUGUUCACCAUACAUUUUCUUGUGGAAGUGUCUUCUAAUAUUGACAAGCACAAUUUGGGAUGGAUGAAGUACAUAUUUAUCAAUAAGCAGUGAAUCAGUAGGUUGUUGCAGUUAUAUGGGAAGGACCAUACACGUACAGUGUCUCGUGCUUGAGAGCAUUGACGUGUAGCCUAGGAAGUGAUUUGAUAAAUGACACCAGAAGGUGUAAACCAUGUAAUGAAAUUAUGUGGAUUCUCAUUCGAUCUGACAGAUUGGUCUUCUGGUGCAAACAAUACACGAUUUUAAAUGGGUUCAUAAGAAUUGAAAAGUUUAGUUAAAUAUGACAUUGCACUAUUAAACUUUUGAUUAAGUGUAAUCUUUAAUUAUUCGGGAAUUGGAAAUUCAUUUUCACGAGUAUCGAAGUAGGUUUCAUUGUGAGGUUAAUUUAGACUACUAGCAAUAUUGUCAUUAUACUGGGCGAGUCCGAAUUAAAUGUGCAUAACUUUGUUCAAUUCAAACAGAAGUUGAUCUAUUGUUUUUGAGAGCAAGGAUAAUAUAUAUUGUUUGGUUUGUGUGGUUCCGAGAAGAAGCAUUAUAUGAUUCAGCCCAAAAGGGUUUCGCUCAUCUUUUUUUUGGUCUUAACAAGAUAAGUAAGCUCUCUCCGGUUGAGAGAAACAAACUAUAAUGAGCCUUGUGUGAUUGUUGAUGGAACACGUUAGGGAGCGAAAGGUUUCAUUCUUUUCUUUGAUAGGGACUGUUUAUAUUCUUAUCAUGGUCCCAAAAUUGAAUGCAGUUAUUGACGAUCGGACAUAAGCGAUUGCCUUCCUAUUCUUCUAUAUAUUGCAUCUCCUAUUUUGUUGACUCUAAUAAAUCGCAGAUCUGAGGGAGAUUACGGAGCAGCAAAGGUGAUGCUCAGGCCUGCUUCUCCUGGUACUGGAGUUAUUGCCGGAGGGUCUGUGAGAAUAGUUCUCGAAAUGGCAGGUGUCGAAAAUGCUCUUGGGAAGCAACUUGGAAGUAAGAAUGCUCUCAACAAUGCUAGAGCCACUGUGGUUGCAGUACAGAAAAUGAGGCAGUUCCGUGAUGUCGCUCGUGAGCGUGGUAUCCCGAUGGAAGAGCUUUGGAAGUGAUUGAACAGAACUGAGCAAAAGCACUUAUUCUGCAUUGUAGAUUUUAUUACAUCAAAAUUCUUGUAGUGCAGGCCUCUUGUGUCGUAAACUUAUAAGAGCCCCCUUUUUUUUUCGUUUUCAAUGAAGCUUUCGAUGUCUCUAAACUUGGUGUAGGCUUAUCAUGUUUCCGGAGAAUCUCCGAUACUACAUUGCAUUCAAUGUGAAAUGAACGGGUGAGAUUAAAGAAAUUGAUAAUUAAACCUUCGUAUAGAGAUGCGGCUAGAGAAAGAUUCAUACCCCUAAGCUUGCAUAUUAUUAACGUGUCGUUAAAUGUGGCGAAUUGCUUAAAAAUAAAUUUUAUGAUGGUUUUUGUAGAAAUUUCUAAAAUUGAUUAAAUACCUUUGACUACUGUUUUUCGGUAGAGGUGUUAGUGGGUUAAAUUGUUAGUUUUUAAGAGAAUAGGAACCGGGUUGGGGAGUCUAUCCCGCAGUAGGAUAUAUGGGCAUGAUUUCCUUCCACUACUGAGGUAAGUCGUCAUCUAAAAGAAAUUUAACAUGACAUUAACAUGGUAGCGCCACUUAGCGAUCCGUUACUUUGAUUGCCCCUCCAAAUUACUUGUUCGGUGAGACCAAAAAAAAGAAAUUUGGGGUCCGAACAUUAGACCCCGUCAGCAAUAUGACACCACACCCAAGAAACCAACCGUGCCCACCCAAACCACCACCACCCCCUCCCCGCCCCAAUUUCUAGGCCCCCAAACUCCUCUGGUCUCACUACUCUCCCUUUGGUCGGGGCAGCGCUGCAUCCUAUUCAGGGUCAAAUUUUGCCAACCUAAGCCAAUCCGUUGCUAAAUGAAUCAUAAAAUAAAAAGACUGGAACACGAUGCCAAAACUAAAGCAAUAAAAUCGACAUCUUCCACCACCAAACAUUGAGAGGCGUUCAGUGGUGCCAAACUUAGUUACUCACAAUUAUGAGAGUGGUCGUUUCCUGUUGAGCCCACGGAGUAGGCUUAUUCUGUGGGCUCAACACUUGGAAAAAUAACUCGGUGAACCUUUUUUUUUCUAAAACAAAGGAAAGGAAAUCGAUAUCUUAUGGUAAAAACUCGUAAAAUUGUAACACCACGUGGCAAUCUACAUAAAUUUCUCCAAGAAAGCCACCAGAAAGAUCAACCGACUGUGAAAUCCCACUACAUAUUCGUUGCCUUUAUGCCUCACAUAGUCUAUUCCUUUCCUUGCACAAAGAUAAUGAUGACACAAAUGGAGAAGCAACGCUAGGCAUCUAUUAAUCUUAAAAGAAUAAAAACAUAAAGUAAAGGGAAGGCAUCCUGAUCGGAAUAAACGAAAGCCAAUGCUGGAGGACGGUAUAUAUACCGACCUCUAGACAUUGUGAUCCCAACACCAUCAGAGAGAUGAAGUUCUUGUUUCAGCUCCCGUGUUGCUCGUGUUUCUGCUUCAUCAAGCCCAAAAGCAGCAAGCACAAGGAGGAGGAGGCCAAGACUGACUGAAAGAUGCAACUCCUCUCGUCGAUAUCGCUCGUGAAACAGUGCAGAACUCUUCAGCAACCUGCUUGCUGUUUUGACAACCUUGUUGUUGUCUUCUCAUGCCUCUCGAAAUGAUUGUAUCACAACUGUAAUUGUCUUUGAAUGAAGUAUAAGAUGCCCUUUUAAAGGGAUUUCUCCUCGUUUUUCACAACGCCUUCUCUGUUCUCCUUUUGAUCAUUUGGCGCUAAGCCCAUCUCACGGAUUUGAUGUUCAACAGAAACCAAACCAGUCUGCGCAAGAAACCUGCAGCAUAAAAUCAAUCCACAAUUCAACAAGGAUCCAUGAAAUAAUAAAUUCUAGUAAGUCAUGCAAAUUCGAACCUCCACACUAACGCAUUUCAAAUAAAACGACAAAAUCAAACAUGCCUCAAAAAUCUUAAGUUUGGACUGCUUGCGCUUUUUCUUUUCUAGUUCUACUCUAAACCCACGAAUGAGAAAAAGUGUGUACCAAACACCAUCACCUCAGAAACAGUGAAACACAACUUAAUAAAAUGUAAAGACUCGUCAAAUCUAUCUUAUGUCGUAGAAUAUAUAAAAUAAUGUCUGCAAAGUUUAGCCCUGUGCUGGCUUGUACAGAGUACCCUUAGCUUUGCCCCUAAUUCCAUCGGGAUAUGUAUAACAAGUGCCCAUAGUUCCAACCCAGGCUCCAAAAAUAUAAUUUAGCCCUCUCAAACCUCCCUCAAAACAAUCUUUCUGCCGUUUGUAUAAAAAACAUUGAAAAUUAAGGACCUGCUCGGUAGAAAACAAGGUUGGACACGCUAGCUAACUGAUAUUACAAGUAUAAACUAUAAAGGCUAAAAAAGAUGAGAGAGCAGCUCAUAUAUCAAGCAAGUUUUCCCCCUCCGUGUAUUACAACAACUUACCAUGCCUUAAAAUCAAGGAACGCAAUCUAAUAACAUGACAAAUUAACCACUCUUGUUGACCGAUUAGCAAGCACAAAUCCAUUUCUGGAGCAUUCACAAAGCAACUUAACAUGUUCAAACACCAGCACAACUCAUCAAACAGGAAGUAUAGGUUGCAAUGUGAGCUAUAGCAUACACAUAAGUUAACAAUUGGACUUAAAUACGCUGACGAAAUUGGUAAAAUUCGAAAUCACGGUGACUAAAUGUGAUUUCGAGCCAAAUCACAGCAAACAAAACCGUGUUGUACCCUUACAAACAGUUAUCAACAACACAUACUAAUUCCAUUACAUACCCAAUAACAUAAAGGCAACAAAUUACUGAAAAAAUAAAGCAUUGAUCCAAAAAAGCAUAAAAAUUAACCAAAAGAGGAACCACAUUCAUUCACCCACAUCCAGAUUUACCAAACUGCUAAACUUAAAAGGAAAAAGUAAAUUGUGGGUAAUUUACUCGAGAUACAUAUUCAAUGAACUUACCAGCUAAGAAGCAGGAAGAGGGUCGCAGUGAUAAGAACAAGGAACGCAACGUGAAAAACCAACCAAGAGUCACUGGAAGAGAAUGCCAAACCCAGCAUCACAGAAAGGCACACACCCAGCAUCACAAACGCAAAUCUCAGCGUCGUCCAUGUCGGACCCUGCAAAAUCCAAUCACCCCCGAAAAAAAGAAGCAAACUUUCGAUUACCCCUUUUCAUUUUUGGCAAGAACUGUUCGUAAUCGUAGCAAAUACAGAAGCUACAGAAAGAAGGGGGAAAGUGUGCGUACGUUAACGCCGGGAGCUAGAGCGCCGAGAAAGACUGCGUUCGCCGACGAUAUUGGUUCGGGUUCUGGUUGCCUUUCGGCCAUCGUGCGGGGUUUGGAUCUGCGACUGCCGACUUGCGAGCUGAGAGGAUCUGAGUGCAGGGGAGGUGUGGGAAAGCUGGAGCAGUGACUUUUAACUGGUGGGAGAAAAAGAAGAAAGCUUUUUUUUUAUUUCUGCUUGGAUUGAACGGUAUUUUCCCGGAAAAUUUUAAGGGUACGUAUAAAAUAUCGAUGAUGUCGGAAAUAUCAGUAAUUCAAAAAUACGAAAAUUUUGAUAGAAAUAUCGGGAUAUUAUCGAUAUCGAUAAAAAUUGAAUAAAAACUACGGAAAUUGUAAGAAAAACUUGGAAAUUUUUAUUGAAACUUUGCAUGAUGUUUAUUUAGUCAAUUAUCUAUAAGUUUAUCAAAAAAUUGGAAGAAAAUGCAUUGCAUGAUAGAUAUAACUGAUUUAAGUUAAUUAUAUAACGAGCUGGUAAAUAUUGUGAGUGUAGAAAAUAUGUAGUAAUUAAUGAAAGAAGUUUAAACACACCAUAAUCAUUUAUAUAUAAUGAAUUAGUACAAUAUUUUAUAUUGUAUACAUUGCAUGGUAAGAUACAUGAGUGACUUAGCAAGGUCUAAAAUAUCGAUGAUAUCGGAAAUAUAGGUAGUCCAAAAAAUUAUCGGUAAUCCAAAAACACGAAAAUUUCGAUAUAAAUAUCGGGAUAUUAUGGAUAUUUUAGACCAGACAGAUGAUAGAUAUCCAAGUUCUCAUAUAUAAAAUUUUAAGAGACAAAUGACGUUUUACCGCAAUAAUAAUACUUAUGCAAAUUGGUCUAUAUUUGAUCCCCUCUUAUCUCCUUUCUCUUGGCAUUUAACAAUUUAAUCCACUAACGCUAUUUGUCAAAAAAAAAAAAAAAAAAAAAAAAAAAACCAAGGGUGAGUUUUUAGAUAUACAAAAGUUAAUCUUCAUCACAUUGUGGACCGCAGGAGGAUUUCACAGUUUCAUCUGCUUACGUAUAUACAAAAAUGCAGACAUGGAUAUUUCAAGACUAUCGUAUCAACUUUUACGUGUUAAAAUCUCUCAAUCGUCCAUAUAACUAGGACCUCUGGCAGCAGGAUCAUGCUGCAGUUUAGUUUCUUUCUCCUUAAGGUACUGCAGAAGCGGCUGCUGCUCGUUUCUUACAUCCGUCACAGCGCCACACCCGUAGGGGAUUGGUCUUUGGUAGCCAGGAAAAGGCGGAUUCGAUGGCAGGUUGUUCAUCUGCAUUGGCGGAUUAGACGCCGCGUGAUGUCCCCAUCGGUUGAAAUGAUUUAACCUGGAAGCAUCAUAAUCGUAUAAGUUUCCGCGGUUACUGGGCGGAUACAGAGAAUUUGGCCAUGCAUGGUGGCCAAGGUUGAGACUCUCUCUGUACUGACGGAGCCAUUCUGAUGAAGUCAUUCGAUGCCAAGGCGGGUACUUAUCCAUGAAAUUUAGAAUGCUGGAACUAUAAUCAGGUAGCGCUUGAGUUGCAGUCCAGUUUGCAUAGCUGCCUGCCUGUGAAUAUGUUGCGUUAGCGUCACAGAGAUUAUCUGUCAUGCUGAUCCCCGCGGAGCUUUUGCAGUCGCUGAAACUAGAUUCGGUUCCACCAUCAAACCAAACAGCAUCAUCUGGCAAUAGAGGAGCAGAAGGCACAGGAGUUGUAUAAGUAGAGGAAGAGGAAUGAGUGCUCGAAAUUUCGUGACUACCGAGAGAAUAUUCAUUUUCAUUGAUGGACAGAACAUCCAGAUAUUCCGAAGCUAUUUCCUCAAUGGGGCUCAAGCUCGAGCCACGUUUACUUAUUUUGCUUGUGCUUUUCUCCUUAUUACUGUUCAAAUUUCCUCCGUCCAGGACCCAAGCAUUAAGAGAGGGAGGCCCGGCUAUGAUUGGAGUUUCCAAAAAUGGCUGUUCCUUCACAGAAGGCUCCUGCUGUUUAAAUGGCACGUUGCGCCGAAAAUUAGUGAUAUCAGCAUGAAAAGAUAAGGGAUCAGUCUUGGCCUGGUUUUGCGCUAUAAGAAGUGAUGUGGCACGGCGCAAGCACUCAUCAGAAGGUACACUUUGAUCCGCCAUAUCUUUCGUAGGGUAUGGAUCCUUUAAAGUAGAGGAAAUCUUGAGUGGUGCUGAGUUGUGUCUUGUAAGAGGCCUGAAGAGAAUAACCUCUUCCUCUUCCGCAUCAACAGAAUGUCCGUUAGAACUCAGAUUUUCCCCAGCAAUCAUCUGUUUCUUGCAUUCUUUCAGCGGUUCGUGGAUAUGAAGACUAGGCAUUUUCAGUUUACCAUCAGGAUUGUUGGACUCGAAUCCUCCUAGUUCUUUCCCGUCUGCAUACUCAUUUGACUCUGCCAUAUAGACUUUGGAAAAUUUUCUUCGAGAUUUGUCAUAGACAAUCCACUUUUGAGAACCUGUUGAUCUGUCUGCAAUUUUAAUUGCAGCCUUGAUGAUUCUCUGAGCACGACAAUCAAUUCCGCUGUCAUAAUUGUCAAUAUGUUCCGGAUGAUAUGAGAAAUCUAGUGAUGCAUGAACACAAACUACCGGUGCAAAUCCCCUCAGCUCAUAGUCUUCCCACAGAGGAGUACCUUCUGGAUACUUGGCCUCAUCCUCGUUGAGGUUGAAUUGCUUCAGAAGAUCAAUGAAUGCACCAAAAAAGUAAGACAUCGCACUUCUGCAUUUUUCAUCGACCCCAUACAUUUCUGCUUCAUCAAGCACGACGACUAGCCACUCCACAAAAAAAAGCACAGCUGGUAGAAGGGGGCAAGUCUCUACUGCACCAGCCUCUGAACAUCUUUCAACGAACCGCCCCAUGAAAAUGAAUGCUGCAGUCAGUGCCAAUUGUCUCAGCUCUUUCUGCUGGAUAUCGAUUUUGUCAGUUGAUCCUUUUAUUUCCGGGGUCUUGAAUAGAUUCUGUACGGUAAAGACUAGUACAGAAACAACUUGGAGUGCUCGAAAAGGGCCUCUUCUAACUGAAUCCAUACGCUGAUAUGGCUCCAAUGCAGCUUUUAGCUCUGUAUCAUCUAGUGCCAUCAGUGCAUCGAACUCUCUCAUAGUACGCAAAAGCACAGGGGAAUUCAUCCACACUGCCCACAUACAAAAUUCCAUAGAGAAAGUCAGAACACAAGCAACAAAGAAUUUCAUAUGUAAAUAAAGAAUUGGAAACACAAGCAUAUAGAUCAAAGGCAAGUAGUUCCAAUGAUUCAACAUUAAACGGCCUUGAUUACAAUCUUCGUCGAAACAUCACAUUGCUCAAGCAAUGUGAAGCAAGUUAACAACCUAAGUAACAACGUAAGCUCAAGUUAAAGAUAUAUUCGGUUUUACAAUCUUAGCUGCUAUGGAUUGCGAAACCGAAUAGAAUUAAAUGAAAAGACAAGCGAUUACACAAUGACAUUGUAACAACAAAAUGAGGACAAUCACAACUCAACCAAAGAUGCACCAUCCAAAUUCAACAGUUACAUGUAGCAACACUCCAUAGUGGUUAAGUGAGUACCUUGAUUUAAUGUGAAAGAAACUUAACAUUCCAAUAAUAAGAGACCAUAACUUUGUAUCAUCGCUCGACUGUGAAGUAGUCUGAACACUGGUUCUUUCAGACGGGUUUAAGAAAUUAAAGUGGGCCUCGCUUGAAGGAGAAUAUACAUGAGAUGACCUGCUCUGCAAGAUCGUAAAAAGCAAAUGAGAACUGCUGAAGUAUGAAUAUCAGAAGGAUAUGACAGUAGUGACUAAAAACAAUAGAUGUUUCUGUAAUUUGUCAGAUUUUACCCUUUCAAACAGUAGGAUAAGGUUACCCCGAGCAUCAGGGAAAGGUUCUUUAACAGCUAAACUUCUUAUACAGUGGUACAAAGCGAGGAACUCGUCACCAAUAUAUGUUGCCAAUACAGCCAACUGCAAACAAACUCACAUGUAACCUUUAACUGAGUUCUGUUUAAAUAACACAGGCAAAUAUCGUAAAGAAAUUUAGGUCUUGUAACCAAAAUCUUCAAGGAAAUAGUAAUCUACCUGAUUGUGGGGGUUUCCACUAUCUGACCAAGUUGCUGCCGCUUCCAAGUAGUGAGUGGCCGCAACUGACCAAUUUCGGGUUUGCACAUCAGGCUUUUCAUAUUGUUCUCUGUAUCUAGCCAGAUCCCCGAGACACACCAAAAAGCGAUGGCACAAAAAUUGGCACUUCUGCAUCUUUUUGUGCUCUGCAAAAGUAAGGUCGCCGCCUCCCUUUCUAUUUAUCACAGACUCUUCUGGGAGCCUCUUACGUUUACUUAUCUUCCCAAUCAUAUUCUGGUAGAAUUCAAUUGCUUCUGAUAGAAAGAGUUUAAACCCUUCUACAUGAAUAUCAUUUCGUAGCACCACCAUAUUUUUGCUUUCUGCAUUCACUGAACUUCCUUUUAGUCUUUUGCGAAACUCGUCAAUAUGCUUGUAGUGUAGCUUCCACAAAGAAUACUCAAUGUCUUGAAAUUCCAACUGCUCAUGAUCACUCAAUAUGAGAUUCUCAUAACCAGAUCGCACUUCGCAGUACAAGUCCUGGACCUCAGAGUUCAAGAGUCCUUUGGAAUGGACCACACCCCACAACCGAUUUUCUUUGGUUGCAACCUGAAAGGUGAAAAGUUUCAUCAUUUUCGAGACUCGCAGAGAAAAAUCGUACUACAAUUAUCUCUGAUCUUUGAGUAAGUGUUAAGAAGUACCAAAUGUAGCUGCAGAAUUUACCUCAAUCAAAAACUUGGGUCUAUCUCCCUGAUCUUUGAGGGGCAAAGGUGAAAUCGCCUUCAUGUUUAACAGGAAAAACUUCUUCAGCCGUUCUUUAUCUCCUUUGUGCAAGCUGCAAUAUGCUUAUGGCAUAACACAUCUGUUGGUAAACAUCACAAAUUAGUGGCCCUUGCAGUUGCAAAACAAUGGAAAAUCACUUGAUUCAUGCAAAAGGCAAGAAAAAAAAAAAUCAAAGUAUGAGGAGCAUUUGCCACAGGAAGUACCAGAUUACAAGAAAAUCAUGUUUACAACUAUAUCUUGAGCAUAAUUGGACAACUAAAGGUGGGAAUAAAAACCCUAAACUGAGCCAACCAAUUGCAUGGAAAUUUAGGGAGGGAUAAAUUCCUAAUCUGAUAAGUAGUCAAAAGUUGAAGUGAAAUCCACUAAAUUUCCAAAAUAUCAAUUCCCAACAGAGAAAAAAAGGAAAGAAAGUAGAUCUGCUAUUGACUUUUAGGGUUUUAGCCACCCAGAAGAUAAUGAUCAUCAUCAUGCAACCAAUGAACGUGGAAACUGGCCUAAAAGCAACAAUUUGUCCAACCCUAACUCUAUUCUAACUUCUUUAAUCAUGUUCAAUUGGUCAAUUAACUGAUAAUUAAAUAUCAAAUUCAGAGCAGAAAACAGCAAAUGUAAGACAAAAACAGAAAUUAUGCAAUAAAUCCAUGUAAAAUUCAGCAAAACAAAGUUCAAGAAACAAACUUCAGCAGCCAAAGUUUGAGUCUUUAACUGAUGCUGCAGAACCCACCAAACAGAAAAGCUAACAAAUGGAAGGGGAGGGAGAGAGAGAGAGAGAGAGAACCAAAGUUUGUCUUUAACUGAUGCUGCAGAACCCACCAAGCAGAAAAGCUCACAAAUGGAAGGAGAGAGAGAGGGGGAGAGAGGGAGAGAAAGAGAGAGAGCCAAAGUUUGAGUCUUUAACCGAUGCUGCAAACCCCACCAAGCAGAAAAGCUCACAAAUGGAAAGGGAGGGGGAGAGAGAGAGAGAGAGAGAGAGAGAGAGAGAGAGAGAGGAGAGGAAAAUUGGGGGCUUCCAACUGUAGAGACGAGAGGUUCAGUUUGGAAGGGAAGAGAGAGAGAGAGAGAGAGAGGGGAGAAUUUGGGGCUUCCAACUGUAGAGACUAGGUUCAGUCUGGAAGGAGAGAGAGAGAGAGAGAGAGAGAGAGAGACUCACACACACAGAGGAGAAUUGGGGGCUUCCAACUGUAGAGACAACAGGAUCAGUUGUGAAACAGACAAAGUAAAAGGUGGCUGAUGAUGAUGAGACUCAUUAGAACGAGAGAUUUUUCAAUGUUUUCGUUACACGAAAUAGUACAUCAUGUGCUCCUAUAUAAAUGGUGAAUUAUGUGUGUUAAAAGGUUAAUAACUUAAAAAUUAAAAAUUUUCACUACUUGCAUAAAAACACGUGAUGUAUCAUCCUUAUUUUCGGCACAACUAAAAAUUUUCCCAUCAGAACAAGUCUGCUGUCUGUUAUCAGCUAUCUUACCCAAUUUUUUAACUUAUUUUAUUUUUCAUUUUCCAAAUUCUUUAGUCUUUAAUUUGUAAUAAAAUAAUUGAUUAUCCAAUGUUAGAAUUUGGAGAAUAAGAUAAAGUGGCUUAUCAUCAUGUGACUCAUGUCCAAGCAUCAACUUUCACCGGACUAAAUUUUUAGAGAGGAUGACUUGUAGUUCAAGCCAAGGUAGUAAAAGUCCAACUUGUUCAUAUGAUUAAUACCGUACAUUGUUGUGUGAGACACCAUCUUUUUUAUAUCAAGAUAGAAUUGCAUUUGCAUUCAUAAUUUAGGGAGUACAUCUAAUAUCAAAAAAAUAAUGUAUAAUUUUUUUUUAAGUAAGUGUCGUUUAAUUAAGAAAAGUGCUUAAAAGAUUGAUAUCUUUUUUUUGCGAUGAAUCCUUGAUGAAUAUUAUUUUCUUUGGGAAUGAUAGUAACCUUCUCAUUUUAUCUUCUCGGUUAUCCCUCUCAUCCUACAAUGUGAAAUGAUAAUUUGAACUGUCUAUUAUUUAGGUCAUUUUUUAAAUAUCAUUCCUACCAAAAAAAUUAGCUAACUCUAAAAUUCUUUAGUCAUUUAACAGUUGUACACUAGAUAGACGAAUCAUAUUUCUCACUUAAACACUAAAAUUUUGUCAAGGCUAAUUGAAUGGUUAAACGAUUUCUUCUUCUUUUUUUUUUUUUUUUUUUUUUUAAAAGUUGAUCUUUAAAGUGUGAUAUAGAAUUUAAACGGUUCAAAUCAUGAAGUAACGUGGUAGAAUUAAAAGGAAAGCCAUGAAGGUAAAACAAAAAAGUUAAAGCAAGAAGGUUCUUAGCAUAUCCCAAUUUUUUUCUUUAAUCCAUUAACAUAUUUAAUGUUUUUUCAUACACUAAUCAUUUGAGUUAUGGAUUAGUGGCACACGUGUACGCAAUGAAGUGGCUGUAGUGUCCCUGGGUAGAUAGGGUAGUUUGGCGCUAGGGUGUUUUGUGACUUUGUCUUGUGCCAAUCACAAAUGCUUGCAUGAGCUUAGUCAUAGAUUCAUAAAUAGACCCCUAAUUAAAUUGGGACGAAAAAUAUCUUUGUAAAUUUUUUCGGAUUUCAGAAAUAUGAACUAUCUUGACGAAGUUACCAGCUGAUCUUCUUAUUGAAAAGAAAAAAUAAAAUAAAAUGAAGAUGAUGUGGAUGCAAAUUUUCUCCUCCUCGAUCUUGGACGAUUUUGCACCUACAAAACAACUAGCACCUUAGGUUAAGGCCAAAAGCCUCACGCGCCCACGAUGAAUAGGGGGGCUUUGACCGAAGAACCUCCGAUGCCAAAGUUAGAAUUUUAGAGAGAAAUAGUGUUUAGAGUAUUUGUGAUUUUUUGUAAGAGAAUUGGAAUGAGUGUUUGGUGAAAAUGAGAGCCUAUUUAUAGGGCUAGGGUUCUUGAUUUAAUAUGAUUUUGGGAGUUAUGUGAUUAAUUGACUAAUUAAUUUGGCAAAAUAGGAUUAUUACCAAAUGAAUUAGCUAACUAAUGGGAUGAAUAAGCAAAGUAUGGCCAAUUCCUUUUCUAGCAAUAGAUGGCCGGCCAUUUAGUGCAUAUUUGGGGAUAUUUGGUGGUAAUUGGGAUUUUAUGAAAUAAUUAGCUAAUAAUUCCCUAUUUAUCUUAGCUAAUUAUUAUCAUAAAAGGAAAAGAUAUGGUAGAAAAGGUAGGAAAUAAAAGGAGAUGGCCGGUUCCUUUGGGGGAGUGGGUAACCGGCCAAAAGAGGUAUUUUUGGGUGUGAUUGGUGAUUUAAUUGGUUGAUUAAUGAAUUUAGGAAUUAAUUCAUUAAUUAGCCAAUUAAUCUCUAUUUAUAUGGAACAAUUUAUAGGUUAUGAAGUAAUUACCUAAAAUGAGGAUGUAUGAGAUAAUUUGGAAUUGGUUACCUUUUUUUUGGAGCAUUUUUAACUUGGUUGAGGAUGAUUGUCUACUGCUCGCGCGUAGAAACUUGGUACGCCUCAAGGGUAUUUUUGUUCUUUUUACCCAAAAAUCCACGUGUCGCCUUGUGAUUAUUUUUGGCUCCACAAAUGCCCCCCACACAUGUUGGGCUGCUCGCAGGAAAUGGCAGCAGAUGUAGAGAUCUUCUUGCUUUAGGAAACAUAGGAUUGCUUCCUAUUUUGAUGUAAAUUCUCUCUUUAAUUGGAAAUUAGAUCCUUCUAGAAAAGGGAAAUAAAUUUCUCUCAAAGCCUAUUUAAGUCCACCUUAAGUGGGUUAUUAAAUCAACUUUGGAGAGCGAUUUAUUCUACCCAACAAGAGAGAGAAAGUUAGAGGAUAUUUGUUCCCCCUCCUUUAGCAAUCUUCUACAUCUUGCCCGUGCAAAGAACCGUCUUUCGUUGAUUUCUUCGUCUUCUCCGUGCCGCACCGAUGUAAAAAAAAAUUAAUUUUUCUUGCCUUCUUUUUGGAUAGUGCUAUUGCAGGGCAGCCGUCGGGGUGGUGCGGCACGUCGGCUGGCAGGGGCCAGGAGUUAGCUCGGCAUGGGCCGAUGAGAUGUCGUGGCAGGGACCACUGCUUGGGCAGCUUGGCUUGGCUUGAGCCAAGGGCAGCUUGUGCGGCUAGGGUCGCGGAUUGUGGCGUUGGGGCGCAGUGCUAAGCGAGUCGUAUGGCUCAUGUCCUUUGGGCUCUUGGACCUGACUCGGACCAGGCUAGUGAUUGAGAGAAAUGAGGAGAUUGUGGGUCUCAUGGGCUGCUGGAAUGUUGGGUUGAACUCCCAUGCUGGGUACCACGAAUGGCGUUGGCUACUUUAACUCUCUUCGUCAGGAGAAACGUGGGUUGCUCCCAAAAUAAGAGGUGAAUAAGAUCAAGGCGAAUGCAUUGGUUCGUCCAAUCACCGUUGUGGAUCCUGCUGCAAGUGAAUGUGGGAAAAGGGAUCUUCUCUGCCUGCUCAAGAGAUGCUGGUUGAGAAAAAACCAAAGACUUCUUUCGCUGCUUAUGCAAAUGAUGAAAAGUUGAUUACUGCUUAUAAUCAAGUGAUCCACUUCAAGAGAAUCGUCGAUAGGCUUGAACCCCAAGUGUUGGAACUUCAAGGUGUAUUGAAGAUCAACAAAAGUUUGAAGAAAGAAGUGGAUGAGCUGCAGCGCGUCCAUGUUGGUAUUGGUGAAGUAGUUGGAGAAGUUGGUGCCCAGGCUGGAGCAGUCGGGGGUGAUGCUGCUGCUAAGAGCUUCGCGACUGCUGAAAGUGUGGCGACCGAAUAGUCGUGGGAUGUCCAGGCUGCUAAAGUGUAGUCAUCUAGGUAGCCUUUAAGAUUUUCUUUGUUUUUCCUUGUAGCUCUUGUUUUGCUUGAACUCCUUCGGCCUUUGCUAGUUGUUUAUAAACAUGUUUUCCUCAGCUUUUCUUCAUUUUUGCUUCUUUUGUUCAUGCCCUAACCUUUAGACUUGAUAGACCAGUGGCAAGCAUGCUACUUUUUUAUAAGCAGACAAGCUCGCGUAGCCUAUGCAGCCGUAGGUGUUGGUGUAGAACUUUGCAAAGUUGUUAGCCAUUGGGUUGGCAGCCGGAUGCCUUACUUACAGAAGCAAACAAGUCCACGUAACCACUAGGCUGUUAACCUUGACUUUCUCCAAUUCCAUAGGUUGCGUAGCAAGUAUCACAACACUUUAGGACUUGGUGUAGAUUGUUCCGCGCUUGGCAGAGGUGAAGCUUAUCGACUACGUCAUGUCGGCAGUGGAUAAAACUUCGUAUAUGCGUGCUAGCUUGUUUAACCUUUCAUAAGAAUGUGCGGUUGUAUAAGUCUAGUGCAGCUUUACUGCUCGAAGGGCAAGCCGUAGGCAGUCUUCCGAAAUCCGUAAGCUACCUUAGUGCACUCGGUAGCAGCUUUAGGAUUCCAGGGCAGCCUUCUAUCGGAUGUACUGCGUAAUGUGCCCUCUCCGUCUCUAGGGCCCGGUUCCCCACGAAUUAGGCCAAGAGACCUAAAAUCCUUCAGUUAGCUAAACUUUGAAAAAGACCAUUGCGGCUACUUCUAGGAAUCCUGGCGCAAGCCAUCGUGCAUCUAGUUAUACUAGGGCAAUCCAGCUCAUCCACGUCUGGAUAUUCGGAGUGUAGAGUUUAUCCUCCCGUUCUUGGAGAGCUGACCCAUGUAGGUGUCGGGGAAUUGGUUUACCCUCUCGCGUUGGAGAGUAAUUAGUUUACCCUUUCGCACUGGAGAGCAUGGUUGGUCCCUCGGGGGGCACAAUUCAUGCGGUAAGUCCCUAAGAAUGGCGCGGUCUUCUUUUGAAGUGCAAGAGUGAUCAGUUGUUGUAAGCAUGCAGCCAAGCUAAGUCGUGAUUACUUCUGAAUUCCUCAUUGAAAAACGAGUUAAACGAACGAGAACUUAGAUGUAAGGUAAAAACUGCAUAACAACUGGAUAAUCCUCGACUGGUGAGGUAGUGCCCGUCGAGCUGCUUGAGUCUUCGGGCUUUGAUGUAGCGAAAGGUCACACAUGGUACUUCCUCAGAUUGUAGGCAUUCCAUUGUUUUUCGAUCUUUUUGUCGUUUUAUGGUGGCGAGGGUGUAAUUGUUCUUGCCACCUACUCUGCUGAUCUUGUACGGACUUUCCCAAAUGGGAUCCAUAUUUUUGGAGCCUUUUCUGCUGGCAGUGAUGAAGGUUUUUCUUAUGACCAGAUCUCCAGGCUGGAACUGCCGGAUCUUGGCCCUUUUGUUGUAGCUGGAGAUGAGCUGAUGCUGGUAGGCUGCGAUGCGAGUGAUAGUCUGUUCGCGCCUCUCUUCUGCCAGAUCUAAGCUUGUGGCCAUCUCCUUUCGGUUGCUCGUCUUUUGGUUGUGCGAUAUGCCCAUAAACAUCCUUGGAGUUUGUCUGGCCAUUUUCUUUUCUUAUUGGUGAAGUAAUCGGUUGCCACGAUCAUCAUGCCUUUGCCCCUAGUAGUCUGGCUGGUGAUUAGCUAGGACUCGGAAUGAAUUGAAAGCUUUUUCACCACCAAGUCUUUUGUCAUUCGAAGGCCUGCUAGUGGGGCUUCGUACUCUGCUUCGUUGUUAGAUGCUUUGAAGCUUAGAGUGAUCGCCUGCUUGAGCAUUAAAACGUCUAGGGUGGCAAAAACCACGGCUGCUCAUAAGCCUUCGUAAUUGGAUGCGCCGUCGACAUGCAAACGCCAGAAAUCUCCAUCGAGGGAGAAGAUGUGGCUAAAGUGUGAUCGGCUGCCUUCGGGACGUCGUUGGGCCGAGUUGUUACGUUCGUCAGAAAACUUACAUCUGCCAGGGUCUACGCCUUUAUCGUCACUGGUUUGGAUUCGGCGGAAUAGUGCGUCAUGAAUAUGACUGUUUGCGUUUGAAGGUAAAACUUAAGCUUUUGGGUUACAACAAUUAUCGCCAAAGUUAGCUUUUGAAUUUUUAAUAGCAUCGAUGAGAGCUUUUGAAUUGUAGAAUACAGGUAGUCGGGCCCCCAGCUCUUCUCGCAUGAUGGUAGAGCUUAUUGCUACUUUAGAUACCGUCAAACAUGCGAAUAAGUCCUCCGCUGCUUCUAGGGAGGUGAUGUCGAGUACUUCUUCAAGUCCUUGAAUGUGCAUUGGCGAGCCUUAUCCCAAAGUGCAUGCUUCUCUGCCAAAGCAAAAGAGUUUGCCAGAGUUAGAUCUUCUUUCAUGAUCAAUUUUUCGAAUAACGGGUGGUCUGCUGGAAGUCCUUUUUGGAAGGCUGCUCUAGCUAUCGAGUUGUUGCAUCCGACUAUUUUUGCCUUCUCUACUUCAAACCUCCUCACAUAGUCGCGAAACGACUCCUUUGGGUUCUUCUUGACGUCGAACAAAUGGUCAGACUUCUUUUUGAUCAAGCGAUAGGAUGAAUAUUCUUUGGUGAAAACCAAAGAAAGUUCGUAGAAAUUUCGGAUGGAUUGUGGCGGCAAGGUGUAGAACCAAUCUUGCGCAUCGCCUUGUAGAUUGGUGGCGAAUAUCUUGCAUAUGAGAUCAUCGUUGUUUCGAUAAAGGAUCAUUGCUCUUCGGUAGUGCUUUAAGUGUCUUUCCAGGUCUUCAUCCCAUUUGAAAGAUGUGAAAUGUGGCAUGUUGAACUCGCGUGGAGGCUCUGCCUGCUCGAUCUCGUCCGUGAAGAGUGACCUGCUUAUGUUGGUCAUGUUUCGUAGUAGUGCCUCGUCGGUGACCUCGUUGCGUUGGAAAUCAUGCAAUCGCUUGGUCAAGAGUCUCUCUACUUCUUCCUGAAUUUUCCUUUGUUGGGGUAGCGGAGCUCUCGACUGCCUCCAGCCAUGACUUGCUGGUCUAGGCUACUCUUCCAUGUGUUUCGCUCAUCUAUGUCGCGGAUGCAGUGCAUGUGGUGCGCUCCUAGCAGGCGAGCGAGUUCUUCGCAGGCUGCUGGUUGAACUUGAGCUGGAUUGAGUGACUGCUUCUCUCCGUCCGUCGUGCUGCCUACUCUGAUGUGAGGUGAAGGAUGCUCCUUGUGGGCUUAGCCGCGAAUAGACACUUUGCCCGGAAGGUUGCUCAUGUUGACUAUCAGAGUAUGACCCCAACCGUGAAUGUAUGCUCAUCCGUGGGCCUAGUCGAGAGUGCAUGCUCCUCCGCGCGCUAAGACGGGAAUGUACACUGCCCAAACGUUCAGCUCGUGGCUGGUCGAGUGGCUGCUUGCCGGGACACUGCUGGAAAGGUCCGUCUACCCUUGUCUUACUUCGGGAUACCUCGUCCGGGGUACGUUGGAUCUUGAUGCGUUACAAAAGUUGAUUCACCAAGGUUGUCUGUUGUGCAAGGGCGCUCAUCAACUCUAUGACUUGUCGAGACAAGUGUUGUUCGCCAUUUGGAUUGGAAGAGCUUGGAAGGAAUGCGCCUCUUUGGGCAGUGGAAGGGUGGUAGACUCCGGGCGUGAGAUUUGAGUUGGGAAAUGUCAAAUCCGCAAAAAAAAUAUGGUGAGAAUGCCCCCAGCUCGAUGGUAGGUCCGGAUGGUUGAGAUAGUCUUGGGCUGACUUGGGCUGCUUGGAAAGCCACGGGAGCAGGCUGGGCCGUGAGAGUGAGCUGCUCGACUGAAGCUGGUUGGGCCACGGGAGUAGGCUACUCGUCGAGAGCAGGCUGCUCGGUUGGAGUAGGUUGGGCCGUGAGAGUGGGUUGCUCGACGGUAACAGGCUGGGCCACAGGAGUGGGCUGCUCGAUGGAAGCAGGUUGGACCACGGGAGUAGGCUGCUUGUCAGGAGCAGGCUGGGUCACAAGAGCAGGCUGCUUGGCAGGAGCAGGCUGGGCCGCGAGAGCAAGCUGCUUAAUAUGUGAUGCAUGCGAAUGCGAGGCUUGGGCCCGGGCCCAUGCAAACUUGGAUGGCACGACUUGGGCCGUGGCCUUGGUGCUGUGAGCCUUGGAUGGCAUGGCUUGAGCCGUGGUGAAGGCACCAUGGACCUCGCCACGGGUGGCUACCGAGCUAGCCACCGUGGUGGUUCCCAUGGUGGAAACUCGUGGUGGUGGUGCUGCUCCACUUAUUGUCGCAUUUAGCCUCACGGAUCUCCGCAAUCCCAUUUCUUGAACAUUAGAAUUUUCACUUGUGGAAUUUUCUAAAUUUCUAGCCAUUAUAUUUUGCUUAUACGUUUUAUCAAAGAACCUUUGCAAGUAAAAAAUUCUAACAAUAAGAACGUAUGAAAAAUAUUCAAAUGGACUAGAAAAUAAAGAAAAAAACCUUUUUGUGCGAGAGUCUUCUACGAGUAUGGAUUUCAACUCUCAAUGAAAGCACCAAUUUGUGGAUGCAAAUUUUCUCCUCCUCGAUCUUGGACGAUUUUGCACCUACAAAACAACUAGCACCUUAGGUUAAGGCCAAAAGCCUCAUGCUCCCACGAUGAAUGGGGGGGGGAGGCUUUGACCGAAGAACCUCCGAUGCCAAAGUUAGAAUUUUAGAGAGAAAUAGUGUUUAAAGUAUUUGAGAUUUUUUGUAAGAAAAUUGGAAUGAGUGUUUGGUGAAAAUGAGAGCCUAUUUAUAGGGCUAGGGUUCUUGAUUUAAUAUGAUUUUGGGAGUUAUGUGAUUAAUUGACUAAUUAAUUUGGCAAAAUAGGAUUAUUACCAAAUGAAUUAGCUAACUAAUGGGAUGAAUAAGCAAAGUAUGGCCAAUUCCUUUUCUAGCAAUAGAUGGCCGGCCAUUUAGUGCAUAUUUGGGGAUAUUUGGUGGUAAUUGGGAUUUUAUGAAAUAAUUAGCUAAUAAUUCCCUAUUUAUCUUAGUUAAUUAUUAUCAUAAAAGGGAAAGAUAUGGUAGAAAAGGUAGGAAAUAAAAGGAGAUGGCCGGUUCCUUUGGGGGAGUGGGUAACCGGCCAAAAGAGGUAUUUUUUGGGUGUGAUUGGUGAUUUAAUUGGUUGAUUAAUGAAUUUAGGAAUUAAUUCAUUAAUUAGCCAAUUAAUCUCUAUUUAUAUGGAACAAUUUAUAGUUUAUGAAGUAAUUACCUAAAAUGAGGAUGGAUGAGAUAAUUUGGAAUUGGUUACCUUUUUUUGGAGCAUUUUUAACUUGGUUGAGGAUGAUUGUCUAAUACUCGCACGUAGAAACUUGGUACGCCUCAAGGGUAUUUUUGUCUUUUUAAUCCAAAAUUCCACGUGUCGCCUUGUGAUUAUUUUUGGCUCCACAGAUGAUACAACAUAUGUUACUCAACUUAAUUCAUAAAAAAAAUCGACUGUUAGUUUCUCAAUUGGCGUUCAUUCUCUAUUUUGUUAGAGAAGAUUUUAAGUUCAAACUCACGACAAACGACAAUUGUUAAAUAGAUGCACUAGUUUCACACAUUCGUCAUCGUUUAAUUAAUUUAUGACUUGAGUUUCCACUUAUACAACGAGAAAAAUCAAUGCACUCAUUCAUCGUUAUUUGUGUGAUUGCUUCAAACGUGAUGAAUGGGUGCACUUGCUUCGUUGUUGUGCAAAUGGCACAUGAUGCACACCAAGAGAAGCUUCCGUCUGCAGAGAGUCGUAUACACAUGGAGAACACAGGGCAACAUGACUAAUGGGUCCCACAUGUAAGACCAUUUUAUGACGUUAAGAUCAUAGUGAUAAGCCGAUCUUAGCCGUCAAUUUGAUAAAUAUUAUCCUGUUUGACUUUGGAAAAUAAAAACAAGCAAUAUGAUGAGUGUAUAUGGCCACGUCAUCAACGUGGGUCUACGUGGUUGUUGUUAGGUUGCUGAUUAGGAACCCCUUAAGCAAAAUUUUCAACCUUAAUCAAUUAGCAUUAUCUGAAUUUGGUGAGCUGCAAAACUUGGAAGCAAUGAAUGUAGAUCUUCGUUCUCUGAAUCGUCGAUGGAACCUUUGAGUGGCAGUGCAAACAUCAUUUUUUUUUCUUUUCUAUUUUUAUAACAGAUGUCGUCUGCAAGAUUUGACCAAACGUAAAUAAUACUUACACGAAAGUUGUAGCCUUAUUGCAUGAUUAUGCUUUUCAGCAAUUGGGAUACAAAUAUGGAAGACGAAUGGGUUUCAACUGUUCAAACAACCCAAGUAUAAAUGUUAAAAAAGAGAAUAUUAAUGGUUACAAACGAUACCAAAAACUGUGAUUUUACUUUCACUGAAAUCAACCUAAGAUGUUUGAUGAAAUAUCUUUUCAUUGCGAAUGAUGUUACAAAGAGGAGGUUAAGUUCGACAAAAAAAAAAACGAGAAGGUUAAGAAUUGUGAGAUAUAUAGUAGGUUGAGGUUUUGGGGUUGUGACCUUCUUUAGUUAUCGUUUCUUAUUUUAACAUGAGAAAUGUUAAUUAAGCGGACUCUCUGCUAACUUAUAUUUUUGUCACAACGUUUUAUAACUUUGGAAUGGAAUUUGACGUUAAAUUGUGAGGUGACAGAGAGUUCACGAAGAGUUUUAUUUUAAGAGAAUCUACUUAACAUUUCUCUUUACGAACUCAUUUUGACAAAAUUCUAACUCCACCACCUAUCAUAUCUACGCUCUACCAAUAUUAAAUCUCUGUAAUGAUUACUGAUUUAAUGGAAAUAAUAGAAAUUAAACUCAUGGCUUAAUUUUGGAGCAAUUCUUGUGUAGAUUUUUGGGUGACGGUACUCAUUUGAUGGAAAAUAAUGGAAAACUCUUGCUUCAAGCUCAGGGCUUUGCUGAUUUAAUAUAUUUAGCUUGUGUCUACAUCACUGGACCCUUAAUAUGAUCUUCUAAGGUUUUCUGAUAAGUUCUGGUUUGUCCCACUUUGAUUUGCACUCUACUCCACGGGGUCCAGACUCCACCCCCAUGAUAUAUCAAGAUCUUCCUGUCUUGACUCGAAAACCUUGGAAAUCUUCAAGUCAGUAAUUUGCAGUUUGUAUGCAUAUCUUAAUGAGGUACCAUCAUUUUAUCCCCUUAUUACUAUGGAGAGAAGUUUACCUGUAACAUGACGUAUACUUUUUUGUCACGAAAAAAAUAAGUACAAUUGAAUAAACACUAUUUACAGCUAAGUUUUAAUUCUCUUUAUUGAGAAUAGCUCUGAUAGAAGUGUAUGACCAAGCCAUCCUUCGACCACCUCUAACAUCAGCAUAAGGCUCUCGUAUUUUAAUUUCUCUUGAACUUAUGUUGAUUCUACAUAGUGUGAGAGUCGAUAUCCAUACGAUGUGAGAGCUGCUCUAGUAUAUGCGCCUAUCUUGAGCCAAUCCUAGUAUAUACAAUGGGACUCGUUGCAAAGCGAAGUACAAACUUUGAUAUGGCUACGAAUAUAUAAGCCCAUUCUUACAUUAAGACUCAAAUCCAGUUUUGCCCUUUCGAAGGUGCAAACUUUCAAAGACAAAUUAUGGGCCACCAUAAACCCAAUGUGCAAUGUUUCACAAGAAGAUGUCAAAAUUCUGCUAAUGCAAAAAAACUUUCAGAAGAGAUUAACCAUAUUAGUAAACCACAUAAAAUAGUCCAGGUUCAUAUUUCAUAUGAUACAUCUUGGGUUCGAUUCUUAGUGUUGGAGAAUCAAAUAAUGGUGGCCACCACUGAUCAUUAAAAUAAUAAUAAUAAUAAUAAAAUAAAAAAGGAUCCACAGAAAAUAGCAAUAAAAUUUACAAAAACGUGACCUUAGAGAAAAGGUUGAACGUACAUUCCAAUUCAGCAAUCCACUGUUAGAGAAAAAGUUGUCCCAUAGGUUCAAACAAUAUUCACAUGCAAUACGAAAACAACCACCAUCUACAAAAUGCUACUAUCAAUCGUGGGUCAAUAUCUAGAUCAUUUUCAGCCGUUAAUGAGUGUCACCACAUUCUUCAACGGCUGAAACUGAAGAACAUUCACUAGUCUGUGUGCGACUUAUGGUUAACAUUUAUUCCUCUACAUUAACACGUGAAAGAUAAACGAGGAGAAAGCAGCGGGCAGAGGGCAUUCAAAAUUUGCGUUCUAUCACCAAAAACACACCAACAAAAUAAAUUUUACCCUAUUUUUUAUCCCAACGAAUCAUCUGCACAAUUUCCUCUAGAUCCUUCAUUCUCUCUCCUUCCUUUUACCACGAAGGGCAGAGACAGAGGCCAAUAAAGCCCUCUCUUUUCUUCUCCUCACACAAACAAAUUAAAAACACAAGUUUUGUGUACGUACGUUCCCUAACCCUAAUUCAACAAACACCAACGAUGGGAUUCAAGCUCUACCUGAUCGCCUUCAUGGUGGUAUUGGCCAUGGUGGCCAGGUCAUCAGCCAAGGUCCACGAUGCCUCGUGGGGCGUCAGCCACUUCGCGGCUCAUGAUGAUGAGUCCUUGAUCGACAGCGCCAACAGCAAAACAGGUGACGUCGGAGAGGAGAACGAGUUGUUGAUGGAUUCAGACAGCGGUCGUAGGACACUCAAAGGCAACGGCAGGUUUAUUGGAUAUGGUGCCUUAAGGCGCAAUGCUGUUCCAUGCGGACGCCGCGGCCAGUCCUACUACAACUGCCAAAAAAGGGAGGGAGCUAACCCUUACAAGCGCGGUUGUGAGUACAUCACCCGCUGCUCCAGACGCUAAAUCUUAUCGAGGAUCGAUUCUAUCCAGUUAAUUAACAUGGCAAAUAAAAAGUACGUACGUACAAGGAUAUAUAGCGAAGAGAGAAUGAAAGUGGGAUCGCUCAGCGAUCACCAUCAACAUUCAUGCUUGCACGAUUUAUAUAAUUUCCCCGUUUUUGUGUUUUAAUAUAAAAGAAAAAAGAAUAGGAUGAAUGUGUUUGUUUAAUUAUGUGUUUUUUUGUAUUCACAUUUUUGUGUAUAUGUCUAUUAUUAUGUAUUAUUAAGGAGGAAAUGAAAAUCAAGAUAUAUGUACUUGGGUACGUAUGAAUUAAAUAAAAUGAGGAAUCAGGAGUUUUCUUUUUCUUUUUGUCUUCAGCAGCUUAAUAAUUUUCUAUAUGCUUGCUUGUGAAUAUCAUGCAUGCAAAUUACGACGAAUCAGUAAGGCCAAUUGCCUUUGAUAAUUAAGGGUGGUGUUAUUCACAAACUCAUUUUUACUUCUCUUAUAUUUUUUUAUUAAUUUUUGCCAUUUGAUUUUCUUUAAUUCAUUCUAUCCAACAGCCAAAAAUCAAGAAUAAUGUGUGAGAGAUAAAUAGAGGUGUGUAGAUAACACAUCCCAUAAUUAAUUGUUUUGCAUCCUUUUCCAUACUCCUCUACUUGCAUCCAGAAAUAACAUUUGGUUGCAGUUGUACAAAGAAAAUAAAUUUAGCACUUUUUUCUCUCUUCCUGCAUUUUCUUUUUUCAUUUUUUGUCUUUAGAUUGAAUAAAUCGAAUGAGAAUCAAAGGAUAUAAGGCAAGGAGAUGAGUGUAGAUAAAGAAAUGAAAGAGGGGAAAUCAAUUUCCUAUAAUAGAUAUAUCUCUAGAGAAAUGAUAUAGAGACUCUCAAAGUGUGGCUCUUCAUGAACUUUCCGUUACCUCAUAUUUUUAGCACAAUGUUUUAAGAUGUUGGCACAUAAAUUGUGUCAAAAACAUAAGGUAGCGGAGAGUACAUGAAGAGUCUCACUUUUCAGAGAGUCAAGCAUUUCUCGUAUCUCUAUUACCCCAUAGAAAACAAUACAGUGGGAUUAAUUAAUGAGACACACAUACACCCAAAUUCUUAUCUUUUCGUUUAGUAAAAUUAAUUUUGAAGUUGGUAAAUUACGCAAAAUCACACACAUUAAUCUCUAUAUAGUUUUACUUGCAAUUUGCUAUGCAAUAAGCUAUCAAUUAACAAUUUUUUGAGCAAUGCUAUUCAUACCAUGUUUUUAUACCACCUUAGGUGGCAUCUGAUGUGGACAGCCACAUCAUUUGAAAAAUUUGCAAAACCCAAGGAAAUGAAGAAGAAAGACUCCUCGUAUACCACAAUAAUCAUUUAGCUAACUAGUUUUUCUUAAUUAUUAAUUUAUUAAAUAAUGAACUAAAUUUAAAAAUCUGAUUAAUUCAAAUGAUGUGACUGUCCACAUCAAAUACCACCUAAGGUGGUAUGAAAAUGUGGUACAAAAACAUGGGAUGAAUAACAUUACUCUCCUUAAUGAUGACACAUCACGUGUUUUGCACCUAAAGUGGUAUGAAAAUGUGGUACAAAAACAUGGUAUAAAUAGCAUUACUCUCCUUAAUGAUGACACAUCUCGUGUUUUGUAAAUGUGGUCCAAAAAAUUGGUCUAUCUAGCGUUACUAAAAAAUUACUGAAAUAGAGUGCAUGGUGAUGUCUUCAUGCUACUAAGAUUCGGCUAGGUGGCCUAAGGUUUUGGUGGUGCUUGGCUCGAUCCCAAUCCCAAUCUAACUACUCUUGUAGGAGUAAUGCUGGGAAUUAAAUGUGAGGACUAAAUUUGUGAAACUAAAAUGCAUAAAAGUUGAUGACUAGAUUAUUAUUUAAGUGUUAAUUAAUAUGGUUAUUUCUUAGUGAUGACGAAUUAUUUAAUUUGCAAAUUUAAUUUACUUAGCAUUACUUUUGUAAUAUAAUUUACAAGGAGGAGAAAUAAACGGCUAGGUGGCUUAACGUGAGAGAUAAACGAGGAGAAAGAAACGGGCAGAGGGCAUUCAAAAUUUGCGUUCAAUCACCAAAAACACACACCAACAAGCUAAAUUUAACCCUCUUUUUUUAUCCCAACGAAUCAUCUGCACAAUUUCCUCUAUAUCCUUCAUUCUCUCUCCUUCCUUUUACCAGGAAGGGCAGAGACAGAGGCCAAUAAAGCCCUCUCUUUUCUUCUCCCCACACAAACAAAUUAAAAACACAAUUUGUUUGUGUACGUACGUACCCUAACCCUAAUACAACAGACACCAACGAUGGGAUUCAAGCUCAACCUGAUCGCCCUCAUGGUGGUAUUGGCCAUGGUAGCUAGGACAUCAGCCAAGGUCCACGAUGCCUCGUGGGGUUUCAGCCGCUUCGGUGAUCACGAUGAUGAGUCCUUGAUCAAUAGCGCCAACAGCAAAGUUGGCGACUUCAUCGGAGACGAGAAUGAGAUGAUGAUGGAGUCAGAGAGCACUCGUAGGACACUCAUAGGC
RNAcentral lists this long non-coding RNA (80071 nucleotides) under Malus domestica (apple). RNAcentral's name for it is "long non-coding RNA (MDOM_LNC009711)". Lineage: Eukaryota; Viridiplantae; Streptophyta; Magnoliopsida; Rosales; Rosaceae. The record is from RNAcentral.